UUCUUUUUGGUCUUGUUAUCAAUAAAAGGAUACACAAUUUUCCACAUUGUCCAGAAUAGGUAAGGAACAUGAACUACAAUUAGUUUUUCAAGUCUUUCAGGGUAGCAGUCCUGCAAUUAAUAGUAGUAAACUUCAAUAUUAUGGACUACAAGGAGAAAAAAAUGAAAAGGAUUUCACUUAUAUGCACAGGCGGUGAAGCGCUUUUACACUAUCACAAUAUUUUAAUAUAUAUAUGUUUUAACUUUUACUAGGUAAACUACCUUGUUUUCCAGGUUACUGAUUCUUCUUACUAUGGACGAUUAUCAAUAGUUAUCUGUUAGGUGAUCUAAUAGUAUAAAAAAGACCUUACAUUGUCCGUGUAUCAAAGGUAAACUCAACAAAAAUGGUUAGUUAGACCUGUAAAAUGGACAGAGCCCCAAUGUAUGCACGAGCAUCGCUGUUGGAAUAGCCAAAACCUUCGAGAUCUCCAAUUACCACAAACUUUUCCCUACCUGGUGAGGUCCUGAUUCAUCAAAAAAGUCCCAAAAUAAAAUAAUAAAAAUUUCAAGGUUGCAUGAUCUUGACUAACUUGGAAGCUUCUUUGAAAAGGUAAAUAAUUUUGCCAACUGAGUAUAUAAUACAAGAUAGUGUACCUUGAACAUAGUUUGUCCAAAGCCAAGACAACAAAUCCUGGAAAUCAGAACAAAGUCUUGACUAUAAAUUAAGUAGCAGGCCAAGUGGAACGGAAUAAAGAGAAAGAAAACAAAAUCAUACGUUUGAACUCGUCAAGACCUCCUAGUUUAUUCUGAAAAUGUCUGCCACCUAAAACGACAGCAAUAGGGCGUCCUUGUUUGUCGACUCCUUGCAUGAACAUUUUGUUGUGUGCUAUCUGGUUUGGAAUCUCACUCGGUGAAAUGAAGCCAUUUGGUGCAAUGCUUUUCUUCCAUUUAAGGCAUUUCAACAACAUUGCCGAAGCUUUGUCUACGUCCAGAUCCCUAGCUCGAAGAAACCUUCUUAUCUCAAAAUCAUCUACUUCCUGAAAACAAUUGACGUAAAAAAAACUGAUAAGAAGAUGGAUUCUGAGCCUAACUCAACUUCAAAAAACUAGCUUAUGUCAAUUCCUUUAAUCAAUGCACGACACUUAACACCUCCCCUACGGCAAGAGUUGGACAUUUGGGGAAUGAACAUACAGCAUAGGGGCUCAACAUUGGAUAAACCAAGAACAUGCAUGGGUCUGACUCUGAUACAUGAUUUAGAAUAAUGAAGAUUAGGCUAAAUUCAACUGCAAAAGUAAGUUCCUGAGGUGUAUAUUUUCCAAGACCUACAACAUCUUUUUAACUCACUAGAAGUUAUACACUUAUAGCCUGUUUAGUGUUUAGCCAAGCUUCUCUAAACGAUUUUUUUUUUUUUUAAAGUUGAAGUGUUUGGCCAAGCUUUUGGAAGAAAAAAAAAGUGUUUACGAGAAGAAACGGAAUCAGUUUUGGAGAAACAAGAAAUAUUAGUUUCUCACCAAAAAUACUUUUGAGAAAAAUAUACUUAAAAACACUCUUUACAAGUUUGACCAAAUACUAAUUGCUACUGAGAAGUGCAUUUUAAAUUAAUAAGUCAAACAUAAACUGUUUUUCACCAAAAGUAUUAUUGAGAAAAAAAUAUUUCUUAAACUAAGCAUAUUUUAGAAACUUGGUCAAACAACACACUAUUAGAAAUCUUGAUGUUUUACAUGUAAACGGAAGGAAGGAAACUAAUAAAGAGUUACUCCUUGCGUUUUACUUUAUUUAAUACUAUUUUCUUAUUAAUUUGUUAAAAAAAAAGAUAUAUUUUUAUACUUCCUUAGGAAGAAGCUUUUGCAACCGAUAAAUAUUAUAUCAAAUUUAUGACCAGAAAUUUCAAAAAUAUUAUAACAACACAAAUAUUAUAACAUAUUCCAGACAGUAGUACUAUACCAAACAAAUUGAGACAGGAGUACUAUUCAAUUACCUUGGAAGAAGGAUCUUGCUUUUCGACAAGAGCUCUCAUAAGGCAAAUCUUGUUCUUCUCUUCUUCACUGAUUUUGUCAUCGCAUUGUACUUGGAUAUCCUGUGUUACUGAUUCUCCUUCCCCCUCCAAUUUUGUUUCACAAUAAAGUCCAUUAUUGUUUAACUCUUUUGCUACUGCCUCAACCUUUCCCUCCAUCACUUUCUUUCUUGCACCAAUUACUAGCAGGAGAAAUAUACAAGGCACAGAAGAAGGUCCCAAUUUUCAAGAUAACAAAAUAAUCUGCUUCAAUUUAUGGCUAACUUAGAGGAGGAAAUUAAAAAGAGGAAUAUAGGGAAGCUAGAAAAAUUAAGACUUUGCUUUAAUGAGUAAAUCAAAUGGGACCGCCGUGGAUGUAGUUGACUAAUAAUUAAUUUAUAGGGACCAAAUACUAUUAAAACCGUAGAGAUGAGUAUCUAUAUACUUGUAUUCUAGAUGAGUAUCAUGUAUUAGAGAAUGCAAAAAUUUGUCAAAAUUUGUAAAGGUAGAACUGGAAUUUAAAAGCAGUGAGUGCACCUUUUAAUAUACAUAUAAAUAUUUGUCAAAAUAAUAAUAAUUUUUUGUGGAUACGUGUUUGUUUUCGUGGGUAACUCAUCCGAUCUAUCUUGAAAUUGAGGGUAUUUGAUAUGUUUGUGGAAGAAAGAUGUAGCUUUUCAACACGAGAUCUCAGCCACAUGUUAAAUGUUAGAUCAGAUCUGCCUCUAAUAUUAAUGCAAUUGGAAACCAUAUAUAUAAGUAUAUUCUUAGAAAACUAUACUGUACAAAUAUAUGGGCCCCAAACUUAAAUGUAAUCUUUUUGGACUCGAGAGACACAAAAAAAUUAAAAAAAAUAAUUGGGCACCAUUUUAUAUAUAGCGCGGGUAUUCACCGCAAUAUACUUUAACGACGGUUUUGUCCGUUAAAGUAUAGCGCGGCGAAUAACCACGCUAUACUAUAGCGCCUUAUAUAUGCGUGCUAUACCUAUAUAAAAAACCGUGCCUUCUCCUUUCCCAACCCAUCGAACCGCGAACCUCGACCCUGCCCCCCCCCUCCCCCCCCCCAUUUUCUAAUUGGGAAAACAUCUCGAUUUGUCCUUGUAUUAUUGUAUAUAGUUUACAUUUGUCCCUCGUUAUACUUUUCGUUCAAAUCCAUCCUUACCAUUAAUAAAGUAAGCAAAAAUACACCUAACCAUAACGUUUUGACACUGUGUCACUCGGGGCCCUCAAAUAAAUUGACACGUAAUAAUAUAUGUCAGCAUUUUUAUAAGCUCACUACCCAAUAUAUUAUUUUAAUUCUUUUUUCCUUUUUUCUUUUACUUUUCUCUUUCUUCUUUUUUUUAACAUCACUUUUUCUCCUUAUCCAAUGCCAUAGCUCGCUGCAAGCUUUUGAAACCCAUCAAGGAUUUUUUAAGUUCCUGAUAAUGAAAUUAAAAAGAGAAUGAGAUAGUUUUUUCUGAAUGGGCUGAAAAUGCUAGGACUACUAGUUAUGAUUAAUCCCAAAGGUGACAGACCAUUAAUCUUCUUCCUUAAAGCAGUGUGUAUUUAUUGACAAGCAGUAAUCUUCUCCAUUUUUGGUGGUCUUGCCGGAAAAAUGCUUGCGGGUGAAGAACCAUGCUUAGAUUUGGCAAAAACAUUAUCGGUGAAUUUUUUUUAUUUUAACCUUUAUUUGUCGCAGAACUUCCUCUUACCGACCUCAAAAUCUUCAUUGCUUUCACUUUUCUUCUCUAAAAAUGUAUAGGUCAAAAUCUUUCUCAAUGAGAUUUAGCAUGGAGUGAUAUUAUGGAGUGAUGUGACCGAGGUCGACUAGUAGACAGUAGGAAAAAAAGAGGGGCAGUCAAUAACGGCCAAGGUCAAAUAUCAAGGACGGUACUAACGACUAGUUUUUUAAUAAGAUAUUUAAGGGAAUAUUCCCUUGAAUAUUCUCUGUACAGGUACUUUUAUGUUUGACUGGGGAUAUGUCCUAUAUACAUAGAAAAAGAGAUAAGGGGGAAGGGCAUGUAAUUUAUUCUGAUAAGAACACUUUUUGAGAAGAAAACUCUCUCUAGAAAAGAUACAAACACUACCUUUCUAAUAAGAUUCUACCAUCCAUUAUUCUAUACUUUACUAUCAAAUCCGAGAAUAGUUCCAAUAUUCUAGGAUUUGUCUAUCACUCAUCGCUGUCAGAAAGAAGAAUCAUCCACCUCAUUCGAUAUUGGGUGAAUCAUUCUCCUUAUUUAUGUUAAUGUCAUUUAUUGUUAUUUAUUGCUUGAUAUUCUUCCAUCAUUACUUCUCUUGAAAUAUUAAAUGCAUAUUGCAUAUAAUCCCUCACUAACACUAUCCUGCGUUAUUAGUGUUAGUUAGUUAUAAAUCUAGGGAUAUUAUUUUCAACCAGGCUUAAUCCCUCAUUACAUAAAAUUGAUUAAUUUAACCGAAGAUUUGUACUUUUUGGUCAAACAAUUUGGCAUCAUCUGUGUGGAUUUCCUAGUUAAAAUUUUAGAUUCUUCUAGAUCUAUAACUAGUAUAGUUUACAAAAAAAAAGGAGUAAAACUCCUUUUUCCCUUGUACACACGGAUCUGACAUGGAAGGUAAUGGAAAAAAAAAAAUGAAGGCAAUGGCCGAUCUCACCACCAACCUCUUGAACAUCAUCAAUGAGGUUUCUGAAACAGACAGCGAGGAUAUAAUGCCCAACGCCUCCUCUAGGCGAGGUGGAUCGCCCCUCCCUGACGGCAAUAUCACAACAUCCAGCGGUAAAUAAGCUUCCACGUCUACGACGGAAGAGGUGCCACCAGUAGUGAAAAUACUACUUGAGGCUUGGCUAACAAACACGCUAACCAGCAUCAUCGACAAGCCCGCCCAGGAGGCAGCUAGAGAAAACACAAGGAGCAUUACACUGACAACAUCCGAGCAACACGAUCCUCUCCCUCCAGUAACAAGUAUCACUCACAAUGUUAAUAAUACAGGUGACGACACCCUCACAGCCAUUCUGAGGAAGAUGGAAGAAAUGGAAAAUAAGAUCAAAAUGCUUCGGGACCAAAUGAGAGAGCACCAAGAAAGAGUCGAGAAAAUACCGGGUGCCCCAAAACUCUUGCCAAAAAGAGAUGCUGGUUGGUUCGUUGAGUAACCCUAUAGUGAUGAAGUCGCUCUGCAUGCCAUACCCAAGACCUUCAAGAUGCCGCCUUAUCUAAAAAUGUAUGAUGGUACGACCGAACCCGAAGAUCAUGUAACUCACUAUGUUACUGCAGUGAAAGGCAAUGAUCUCGCCAAAGAACAAGUAUCCUCCAUCUUGUUGAAAAGGUUCGGCGAGAUCCUCACUAGAGGAGCAUUAACUUAGUAUUAACAACUGCCCGCGCAUUCCAUUGAAACGUUCGAAGAGAUGGCCGACAAGUUCGUAACGGCCUAUGCUGGGGCUAAAAAGGCGAAGGCAAGAGUGAACAAUAUAUUUGCCAUCAAACAAUCGCCCGGAGAGGGAUUGAGGGACUUCCUUGCUCGAUUCAACAGAGUAAGGAUGACCUUACCGAAAAAUUAUUAAGUCAGCUUAUAAAAUAUCCUCCAACAACUUGGGAUGAAAUAGACAAUGCCUAUUGUGCCAAGGUCCGUGCAGACGAAGAUGACCUAAAUGGGCCCACUCAUCGGUUGACCUCGGUACAGGCCGAAUCUAGGAAGGAUCGAAGAAAUGAUGCUAGGAGGGAUCUUGCAGCUCCACGACCCAACCGAGAAAGGCAUCAGCCAUAUAUCAAAAGCGCCAUCAUGCCCCCUUCCCGCCACAAAGAGGGCCUAUCUAGACCAAGGACAGGGACUCACCGCAAUGAAAGAGGUAUGCCCCCUUUAUUAUCCGCUCACAAUUUUUGUGUGUCACCCUCAGAAAUAGUCUACGCAUUGGAGAAGCUCGGAUCAAAAGUAAAGUUGCCACAAAAGAUGAUGUCAGAUCCAAGCACCAUAAAGUCAAACUCCCUCUGCGAGUUCCACCAAGAGCAAGGUCACAAAACUGAGGAUUGUAUCGCCCUAAGGCAGGAGGUCGUGAACAUGCUUCACCAAGGACACCUCAAAGAAUUGCUGAGAAACCAAGGAAGGUCCAACUUUGCGCGAGGAUGUAAACAGCACCAAGGACCGCCGAAACUACCCUCACCGAAUCGCACCAUUCAAAUGAUCAUCGGAGGCGCGAUGACGCUUCGACCAACAUCAUAAAGUUCACCACAACCCACAAGAUCAAAUGGUCGAUCACUCACGAACGGUAUGACAAACUCGAAGAAAGUAUUAUUUUCGAUAAGUCAGAUACCCACGAUUUGGUUUUCCCUCACUAUGAUGCCCUUGUUAUCACUUUAUGAAUAUUAGAUACAGAUGUAAGACGCAUUAUGGUGGACGAUGGGAGCGGCGCAUGCAUUAUCCACCCUCGAGUACUUGCACAAAUGAAACUCGAGGAUAAGAUUGUAUCGCAAUGCAUCAUGCUAACAUGUUUUAACAAUGCAGUUAAACGAACAUCUGGAGAAAUCACACUCCCCGUCCUGGCCGGCGGCGUCACUCUAUAAACCACAUUCCACAUCAUGGACCAGGAUACGACGUACAACACCAUAAUAGGUCGAUCCUGGAUACACGCCAUGGGGGCCAUCCCCUCCAGCUUGUACCAAGUUAUCAAAUUUCCAACCCCUUGAGGAAUAUUCAACAUACGAGAAAAACAACGCAUAUCUAGAGAAUGCUACCGUAUCGCCCUGGAUUGUACAACCACCUAGUAGAUGAAGGGCAAAGCAAAAGAGGCAUAAUAAUUAAUAGGGUCGAGGUCAAGCUGUGACAAAAGAGAGGACGUCAUCAGAGAUCCCAAAAUAGUAUAGGCCACGGAAUUAACCAUAGAAGACCUCGACCCCGUUCAACUUGAUGUUAACGACCACAGCAAGAAGGCCUACAUCGGUUGCAAGCUUCAAGAACCAGGUAAUUUUCGUCAAUUCUUAACUACUGAAGCAGACUUGCAUGCUUUUCCCACGCAGACAUGCCAGGUAUCCCGAAGGAGAAUGCCACACACAAGUUGAACGUCGACCCAUUCCACCCCCGGUGAGGAAGGUUGGGCGGAAGUUCAAUUCCAUAAUAAAUGAUGCAGUCCGCAAAGAGGUAAAAAAAAUACUGGAAAAUGGCUCCAUAAGGGAGUCAAAAUACCCCCAAUGGGUCGCCAAUGUGGUCAUGGUGAAAAAGAAAAAUGGGAAGUGGCGAAUGUGCGUAGACUUUACAGAUUUAAAUAAAGCAUGCCCCAAAUAUUGAUUCCCGUUACCUCUUAUCGACCAGCUCAUUGACGCAACGACCGGGCAUGAAUUGCUAAGCUUCUUAGACGCCUGCUCAGGCUACAAUCAGAUCCUCAUGGAAGAGGAGGAUCGGGAGAAGACCACCUUCAUCACCCAUCAUAGGACGUACUGCUACAGGGUUAUGCCCUUCGGACUAAAAAACGCAGGGACGACAUACCAAAGGUUGGUGACCAAAAUGUUCAAAGAUCAACUCGGCAAGACUAUGGAAGUCUACAUAGACGAUAUGUUGGUCAAGUCCAAAAGGAAAGACGAUCACAUCACCACUUGAAAGAAGUCUUCGACAUAGUCAGGCGAUACAGAAUGAAACUAUAUCCUGAAAAGUGUGCAUUCGGCGUGACCUCAGGAAAAUUCCAGGGUUUCCUAGUAUCACAGCGAGGUAUCCAGGUCAACCCCGACCAAAUCAAAGCCAUAAAAGGAAUACCAGAUCACUUAACCACCAAAAAUCAGGUUCAGAGGCUGGUUGGACAUAUCGCCGCCCUGUCAAGAUUCAUUUCAUGAUCAUCCGACAAAUGCCACAAGUUUUUCGGCAUACGCAGAAAGGAUAACGACCUCCAGUGGACCUCCGUCAUUGCUUUCCAAACCAGAGCCUGGGGAGCUCCUCCUCGUCUACCUCGUUGUAUCUGAGGUGGAGGUGAGUGCGGUCCUGGUCCGGAAAGAGUAAGGUACGGAAUCUCCCAUCUAUUACAUGAGCAAAACCUUAGUCGACGCCAAGACAAGGUAACCCCACCUCAAAAAAUUGGCUCUGGCCUUGGUUGUAGCUUCAGAAAGCUUAGACCCUACUUCUAGUUCCACCCCAUCUCGGUAAUCACAAAUUUCCCCUUGAGAAGUAUUUUGCAUAUGCCCGAUCUAUCGGGCAGGUUAGCCAAAUGGGCCAUAGAACUAAGCGAACAUGAUAUCAUAUAUCAACCCUGAAUGACGAUAAAAUUGCAAGUCCUAAGUCGGAAAAGAAGCGGCCCACGCUUCUCGACAAACACAAGAUCUAUGGAUUUUGUACACCGACGGUGUCUCUAAGUCAGUCCACAAGGUGCCCGAACAUGACUAAUAAUGAGGCCAAGUAUGAGGCCAUGAUUGCAGGAUUAAGGUUGGCACUCAAGUACGGGGAGAGACCGGUCAUACAACGCUACGACUCUCAACUCAUCGUCAACCAAGUCACAGGGACUUUCCAGAUCAAAGAGCAAAGGUUACAAAAAUUCCAGACCGAGAUCUGCAAACUACUGCCCGAGUUCGACGAAUGCCAUCUCUACCAAAUUCCUCGAGCACAAAAUAUCGAAGCAGAUGGCCUCGCCAAAUUAGCAGCAGCCACUUAAAGCAUAAUCGGAGAAAGAAACGUGGUCACCUUCCUUUACUCAUCAAUAUAUCAAAUCGAGGUAAGGACCAUAAAUCUAACUUGGGACUGGCGCAACCGUAUUGUUACAUACUUGCAGGAUGGCACACUCCCAGAUGAUAAAAAGGAAGCCAAGAAGCUUUGGAUGCAAGUAGACAGGUACAACAUCAUUCAUUACGACCUAUACAAGAGGACGUAUGGCGGCCCCCUAGAGAAAUGCUUAGGCCCAAAUCAAACGCGGCGCAUCCUAGAAGAAGUCCACGAAGGCCACUGCGGAGCUCAUUCCGGUAGUCGAGCUCUAGCCAGAUGUCUCAUACGUGCAGGUUACUACUGACCCACUAUGAAAAAAAGAGGCGGCAGACUUCGUGAAACAAUGCGAGCAAUGCCAAAAAUAUGCCUCAAUGAUCCAUCAAGCGGACCUCCGCUCGGUCACUUCCCCUUGGCCGUUCAUCAAGUGGGGAAUGGACAUCGUCGGCCCACUCCCUGUAGGGUGAGGUAACUUACGAUUUCUUUUGAUUUUAACUGACUAUUUUUUCUUAAUGGAUAGAAGCAAGAAUGUUUUCCCAUAUAAGCGAACAGGAUGUGAUCACCUUCAUAUGGAAAAACAUUGUGUGCCGCUUCGACCUCCCCAAAGAAAUCAGGUGCAACAACGAACCCCAAUUUACUAGAAAAAAAGGUCGCCUAAUUGUUUGAGAAGUGGCAUAUCAAAGAAUACUCUCAACACCGUACCACCCCGCGGGCAACAGACAAGCGGAAUCCUCCAAUAAAUCAAUGCUGAACAUCAUGGAGAAAAAUCUUGAGGACGCCAAGGGACUAUGGCCGGAGUUAUUACCAGAAGUGCUUUGGGCCUACCGUACAAUGCCGAAGACUAGCACAUGAGAGACACCCUACUCAUUUAGUCUACGGUAAUACCAGUCUAAGUUGGAGAGCCCAAAUUGAGAUAUUCCCAUGAGAGCAGGCCGAGGAAUGAUGAAAGCAGAAGGCAAUAGCUCGACGAAGCUGAAGAACGGAGAGAUAUGACCUACAUAAGGUUGAUCGCUCAAAAGCAACAUGUAGAACACUAUCAUAAUAAAAAGGCCAAGAUCAGACCACUCAAAGUCGGGGACUACAUGCUCAAAGCCAAAGCACAAGCAAGCAAAGACUCGCGGGAAGGAAAACUGGGAACAAAUUGGGACAUUCCAUACAAAAUCAUGGCAAUAGCGAAUAAAGGGUCUUUCUAACUAGAAACAAUGGAAGGAAAACUACUACCAAACAACUGGAACAUCAUGCACCUCAAGUAGUUCAACUUUUAAGAAAAAGCGUUCUCCAAGUCAUACUCUUUUUUUCCUCACUUGAGUUUUAUCCAGUUGGGUUUUCUCUACGAGGUUUUUAACGAGGCGACAAAGGGGACAUUUCAGGUUGAAAUACGAAUUAAAGAGGGCAUCGGAUGGUCAGUUCAUUGCCCAACCUCUCAAGAUGUCUCUACUUCGCCGAAUGAAGGGACUAGAUAGGCUGGGACUGGAAUGCCAACCCGGCAAACAUGUAAGUUUCUCCAAAUAUGAUCAAAACACAAAUGUAUGAAGUCCGCCCAUACUUUCUCCAGAGCAACACUGCCUCAAUAUCUACUCGGCCCCGGCCACAACUAAGUACGGGUUACAUUCGACCUCAUUCAAAUUAACACCCGCUCGGCCCCCUCCCACAAUUAAUAAAAGUUACAUUCGACCUUGCUUGAAUUAACUCAAAUUCGACCUUUCUCGAAUUAACUCACAUUUGACCUUGGUCGAAUUAACUAAGUAUGGGUUAUAUUCAACCUCGUUCGAAUCAACACCCGCUCGGCACCCGGCCAUAAUAAAAUAAAAGUUACAUUCGACCUUGCUCGAAUUAAUUCACAUUCAACCUUGCUCGAAUUAACUAAGUACGGGUUAUAUUCGACCUCGUUCGCAUCAACACCCGCUCGGCCCCCGGCCAUAAUUAAAUAAAAGUUACAUUCGAUCUCACUCAAAUUAACUCACACUCAACCUUGUUCGAAUUAACUAAGUAUAGAUUACAUUCAACCUCGCUCGAAUUAACAUCUACCGGCCCCCGACCGUGACCGAAAUUGAGUUCUAUUUCGACUUCGUUCAACACACAAAACCCAAGUUUUUAUGACUUAAGCGACCAAACGGCAAAACAAAAGAAAGAGGCAUACAAGCCCGAACAGAAGCAAAAAAGUGAGGUAUGAGUAGCGAAAAUGGCAUUCCACAAAAUAUAUUCUUUACAAAGGCUAGAAUAGACGCCCUCAAAAAUAUGUACAAACCUUACAAGAAAAAAGAUAGAAAAAUGACUACUCGCCACCUAACCCAGCAACGUCAUCUAUCUGACCGCCUAUGUCAUUUCCACCUGACUUCCCGCUAGUACCAUCGCCACCGCCUCCAGAAUACUCAUCCUCAUACCAGGCAUCUUGUUCUAACCCGUCCACGCCUAUGUCCUCCUCGCCAUCACCAGUCUCUGGCGUAGCGGGGUCAUAGCCAUAAACAGUCUGAGCUCAGCGUGCCGUAAUGCGAGCAUCCUUGAAUUCGGCCUCAGAAACUUUCCCCACCGCCAUCAAGUCCCCAAAUAUAUCCUGUUUGGCCUCGGCGUGGAUCCAUAUUUCAUACAGAUCCCGCAAAAUGUCAGGAAAUGUAGAAGCAUGGGAAGAGGACGAUUGAGCCAAUAACUGGGACUUCUCGGCUUCAAGGGCAAUAACUAGUUCAUUAAGGCCUGAAUUUUCUAUCUCUAACUCCCCUAUACUCUCAUCGAGUCGCUCCUCUCUGAGCCUCGUCGUCUCCAAAUCACUCGCCCGCUCUUAACGAAGAACGCGGAUUACGGCCUUCGAUGCCUCUACUUGCCUCAAAGCCGCCAACCGAUACGAUUCUGACUUCUCUAAAUUAGCUAUCCUCUCGAUGAGGUCACCACCUAGACCAUCCGCCUUGAUUAAACUUUCUUUGAGCUCGGCCCGCAGCGAGCUCACUUGGGCUUGGAGGUCGGUGCAUUAGGCCUUGACUCCCCUACUCAUCUCGAGCUCCUCUUCCUUGUCGUUCAACGCCCCUUUGAGCUCACUUCAUCUUUCAAUUACCUUCACCAAUUCGUCAUCCUCAUCCUUUAGCUCGUCUCGGAGAGCCCUAAAGUUGCUACUCUCACCAAGCCGCAUGCAAAGCUCGCGGUGCUUAUCACGAUGCUCGUAAUAUUUCCUCUCCAUCUUUUGGAAAUAUCCUUCCACCUCUCCUCUCGGCGGGAGAUUUCGAUCCUCAAGAUCACGGUCUGAAAAGAAAACUAGAGCGAGUAAGAAUAAAAUCGAAUUCGACAUGAACGAACAUACAAAUAAAAUACCUAACUUACCCUAAGAGUAAGGCCGGCUAUGCUCCUCAACAAUGUAGAGUCCUUUAGUUUCUCGAGGAUCUUACCCUCCAUGUCGGAACGGAGGGGAUCAAGAGAAGGGACCACGUCCUCCGUAUCAACUAGCAGAUCCCGGUCCAGAGGGAUCACAAUGGUCCGCACGGUUCCCUUCAAUCUCACCUUGAGCCGGGUGAGACUUCCCAUCAUCCUAACCUCCUCAGGGUCCAUAUCAGAUCCCGUCUUGUAACCAUCCUCAGCAACCCCUUUACCUCUCUCAUCGGUAAACGAGGUGGGAACAUCAACUGGCCGCGAGGACAAUGGCACAUCUCGCCACACGGUACCCAAAAACUCCACGGAUCCUCCACCAGUUCUGAUGCCGACAUCAGGAAGGGGCAUGCUCUCUAUAGCUCCCGCUGAUGGCAGGACCUCAAACGGAAAAUUUUCACCGUCUUCAGGCACAACGGAGGUCGGUUCGCGUUCGUUCCUUAUAGAAUCUACGACUCGAAUUGUCCUAUCGCCAACAUUCACCGACCUUCUUUUACGAGGGACCAAAUCAUCCUCGCUCGGUGAAGACUCUUCAUCUAUUAAAUGAAGAAAGGGAAAGGCCAGAGUCUUUGGUAUUGAAACUGUCGAUGAUCAAACCGAUCUAGCUGAAACCGGAGGCCGAAUAGAAGUGGAUGGCUAGGCAAGCUUGGCCACAGUCACUGUAGGGGCGGACCCUAUUGUAGUGUUCAUCUGGCGAAAUGCAGGAGUAGGGGCCUUCGACCUUCUCGAGGAUCCCCGGGCUAAAAACAAAAGAGAAGAGAAAGAAGAUUAAGAGGUCGAUCCCCACAAAACAAUAAGAAGCAAGCGACCAGAAGACCACGGAAAUAAAGAUUCAAAAUGGGUAAACUCACCGGUUGCUGAAAGCGUGGGCCUGAACCUCUUGAUAGAUGCCGACCAUUCGCGAAUCCUCAUUGUGUGAGGCAAGACUUGGCUAACCCAGUCAUGAAUAUCCACAACCAAAGGAGGGGGCGAAAUCUCUGCUGGACGAGGAGAAGACAGAGUAUUAGGCUACAAUCAAAAUGAGCAAAAUAAGUGCUUACUAAAAGCUACUUACGGGCACAAUUCCAUGCCUCUGGAAAUCCAUUCGCAUUUGCCACCACGUCCUCGGUCUUUACGUAGAAGUAGUUAAGCCAGAAUCGACGAUUUGUUUUAUCGUCCAUUUUCACUACUAAACUUUUACUUCCUCGGUGACAAAGAUACAACAUCAUCCCCCUAUAGAAACUGGGGGCGAAGAGGUGCAUCAGGUGGCGAAGAGAGAUCCCGCGGCCGGCCAAUUCUGCGUACUUCGUCAACAUGCAGAUGAGUUUGUAGAUGUAAGGUGAAAGUUGGUCCGGGCAGACGCCGUAGUAGCGGCAAAAUUCCUGGAAGAUGUGUUAACCAUAUUUGUUUAUGAAUGAAGGAGGUAUAAACACAGAAGAGUCAAGAGUAGCAGGAGCCGCCAGAAUCAGUGAAAGCAAGAAUAUAGAAGUAAGAUCAAAAGAGCAAAGAUUCUGAAUGAGGAAGGAAGAAGAAGGUAUGAAGGUCCAAUACUUAGACUGCAAAGAGUAAGGCAAAUGAUUUUGUAUCCAUAUUUAUAAGAGUUGAGGCAUCAAUAUAGAGAAAGCAAACCGUCGUUAACCAGCUCAGGAAUCGAAGAGGUAGAGGCACAAGAAACGAUGCAAGGUAUCGGGAAAAUUCAUAAUAAUGACGAAUGAUGACAUGACAUCUGUGAUGACCCAAAAUGUUAUCUUAUGUUUUAGAACUCGAUUCUGCACUCUUAAGCCUUAAAAAUCUCAUUUUCACCUUUCUCGAUUUGCGUGCACUAAUCCGGGCGUGUUUCCGAAAAACUUUUAUGUUGAAAAUUGAUGAAAAUAAGACUUUUGCCUUAAAAGUUUAUUUUAGUUAAUUUCGGUCAACAUUUUUGGUAAACGGGCUCAGAUCUAUAUUUUGACGGUCCCGGUGGGUCCGUAUCGAAUUAUGGGACCUAGGCGUAUGCCCGGAAUCGAAUUCGGAGGUCCCUAGCUCGAGUUAUAAAUUUUUGAUGAAAUUUAAAAGUCUGAUUUUUUUUUAAGAAUUGGUUGAUAUUUGGCCAUGUUGAUACCGUGUACGUAUUUUGGUUCCGGGACCCAGUAUAGGUCCAAUAUAAUAUUUUUGACUUACCUGUGAAAGUUUGUGAGAAACGGAGUUGGUUUGACGUGAUUCGGACGUCUAGUUGAGAAGAUAGGNNNNNNNNNNNNNNNNNCCUAUGCCUAAUUAUUACGUGUUUAGACUAGUGUUGUUAAAUUGAUCGUUCUUAUUAUGAUUACGGAUUCUCUGGUGAUAAUUGAGUAUUUAUUUCAAAGUUGAGAUUGAUAUUGUGGAACCAAAUGUUAAAGUAAGGCUUGUACUUGUUAUUCUAUCUCCCUAUUGUUAUUUAUGCAUUGCAUUAUGGUAAGGGAGAGUGUUAAUGCACGAAGGGUGAUGUCGUGUCAUAUUGUGAGUAUUAAUGCACGAAGGGUGAUACCGUGCCAUAUUGCGAGUGUUAAUGCACGAAGGGUGAUGUCGUGCCAUAUUGUGAGUGUUAAUGCACGAAGGGUGAUACCGUGCCAUAUUGCGAGUGUUAAUGCACGAAGGGUGAUGUCGUACCAUGAUAUGAGAGUUAAUGCACGAAGGGUGAUGUCGUGUCGUUUAUAUUGAUUUAUGGAGAGACUGGGAGUAAAAGCACGAAGGGUGAUGCCGUGCAUUUUUACUUUACUGUAUUCAUGUUCCUGUUGAUUCAUAAUAUAUUGGUUGUUCCAGUUAUCAUUCUACUGUAGUUCUUUAUCUCGUAUUUCCCCCAGCAUGUUUCCCCAUCCCGAUAUCUCCUGUCUAAUCCUUUAUUACUGUUAUUUGUAUAUACAUUGUUAAACUGUACAGGUUUCUUUGUAGGUGCCUUGCCUUAACCUCGUCACUACUUCAUCGAGGUUAGGCUCGACACUUACCAGUACAUGGGGUCGGUUGUACCGAUACUGCACUCUGUACUUUCUGUGCAGAUUUUGGUACCGGCUCGGGUUGAUCGAGAUUUUGCUAUUGGACCGCUAUCCAGAGACUCAAGCUAAAUCUGUCGGCAUUCACAGAACUUGAAGUCCCCGUCUAUCUUUUAUGUACUAUUGUUUCUUUCAUUCAUACAGUUGUAUUUCUUUCAGACUAUUACUUGUAGUAAAUUCGAGAAUGCUCGUGAAUUGUGACUCCAGAUCCGGGUGGUAGUAAUUAAUACAGUUUUUAUAUUAUUCCGCACUUAUUAUAUUUCACCUUAGUUAAUUUGCUGAAUGGGAUACGGGUUGGUUUAAUGAUUCUCUAACGUUAGCUUGCAUAGCAAGUGAAAUGUUAGGCGUCAUCACGGUCUCUACGGUGGGUAUUCCGGGUCGUGACAAGUUGGUAUUAGAGCACUAGGUUGCCUAGGUCUCACGAUUCACGAGCAAGCUUAGUAGAGUCUGGAGGAUCAGUACAGAGACGUCUGUGCUUAUCUUCCAUAGUCUAUGAAGUUUAGGAACAAAUUUCUACUUCUAUUCUCCUCUGUCGUGCAAUGUUGUUUUCUCAAUACUGAUUGAACUCUUCUACUCUUGUUCUCUCGGAGAUGGCGAGAACACGUACCGAUUCCUCAGCUGAGCAACAGUUAGAGCCUCCAGUGGUAGCUCCUACGAGGGGCAGAGGUCAAGGCCGAGGUUGUGCCAGAGGCCGAGGUAGGGGCAGGGCUCAGCCUAGAGCCCGAGCAGCAGCCCUAGCAGUGGAGCCUCAGAUAGAUCUUGACGAGGAGGUUCCAGCCCAGACUGUUCCUACCGGGCCAGCUCAGGUUCCGGAGGGGUUCAUUGCUACCCAGUACUUUAGGAUGCUUUGGUCCGUUUGGUGGGCCUUAUGGAGAGUGUGGCCCAGACUGGAGCAUUUCCCAUGGAACCAGUAGUCUCUCAGGCUGGAGGAGGAGCCCAGACUCCCCCUACUCCCUCUCCAGAGCAGAUAGCUCCCUAGUAUCAGGUUCCAACAGCUCAGCCAGUCGGAGUAGUUCAGUCGGUUAUUGUGGCACAGGUCGGAGAUGGGCCAGCUAUGUCUUCUGAGGCUUUGUGGAGGUUGGACAUGUUUACCAAGCUCUUCCCAGUUCACUUCAGUAGUGCUCCUUCAGAGGAUCCCCAGGAGUAUCUUGACAGCUGUCACGAGGUUCUACGAAACAUGGGUAUAAUGGAGACCAAUGAGGUCGAUUUUGCUGCAUUUCAGAUGACUGGUUCCGCCAAGAAAUGGUGGAGAGAUUACUUGUUGAACAGACCAGCUGGGUCGCCUGCUCUUACUUGGGACCAAUUCUCUCAGCUAUUCAUAGAGAAGUUUCUGCCUAUCAUAUUGAGAGAGGAGCGUCGCCGUCAGUUUGAGCGUCUUCAGCAGGGCAAUAUGACUGUCACUCAAUAUGAGACCCGUUUUGUGGAUUUUGCCCGUCAUGCUAUUCUUCUGCUUCCUACCGAAAGUGAGAGGGUGAGGAGGUUUAUUGAUGGACUUGCUCAGCCUAUCAGAUUGCAGAUGGCUAAGGAGACUGGGAGUGAGAUUUCUGUUCACGCGGCUGCUAAUGUCGCUAGACGAGUUGAGAUGGUUCUUACUUAAGGAGGUCAGGGGUCUGACAAGAGACCUCAUUAUUCCGGUGAGUUCAGCGGUGCCUCAUCUAGAGGCAAGGGUACUUUUGGUAUAGGCCAUCCUCCCAGGCCAUUUUAUUGAGCACUCCAGGCAUCCCACGGUGCCUCAGGUGGUCGUAGCCCUCAGAUGCAUUAUUCCAACCAGCUAGCCUACAGUGCACCAUCAGUUCCUAUUAGUACACCUCCACUCCAGAGUUAUCAGGGUGAUUAUUCAGGUCAACAGGGUCAGUUUCAGGGUCAGCAGUCACAUCAACCGAGGUUAUGUUAUACUUGUGGUGAUCCGAGGCACAUUGCUAGAUUUUUCCCUCGGGCAACGGGUAGCGCAUAGCAUCAGAGUUCUCGUGCCAUGGUUCCGGCACCAGUUGCUGCACCACCUGCUCAGCCAGCCAGAGGCAGGGGUCAGACAGCCAGAGGUAGAGGCCAGACUGUUAGAGGUGAAGGUUAGGCUGUUAGAGGUGGAGACCAGCCGGCUAGAGGUCGUCCUAGGGACAUAGUUCAGGAUGGUGGGGUCCAGCCCCGGUGUUAUGCUUUCCUAGCUAGGCCUGAGGCUGGAGUCAUCUGACGCUGUUAUCAUAGGUACUGUUUCAGUUUGCAGUAGAGAUGCUUUAGUUCUAUUUGAUCCGGGAUCUACUUACUCAUAUGUGUCAUCUUAUUUUGCUUCAUAUUUGGUUGUGCCUUGUGAUUCUUUAAGUGCUCCUGUGUAUGUGUCCACACCUAUGGAAGAUGCUAUUAUUAUAGAUCGUGUUUAUCGUUCGUGUGUGGUCACCAUUGGGAGUUUUGAGACUCGUGUAGAUCUUCUACUUCUUGAUAUGGUUGAUUUUAAUGUCAUACUAGGUAUGGAUUGGCUGUCACCCUAUCAUGCUCUAUUAUAUUGUCACGCCAAGACGGUGACCUUAGCCUUGCAGGGGUUGCCUCGAUUAGAAUGGAGAGGGAUUCUUUGCCAUUUUUCCAGUAGGGUUAUCUCUUAUGUGAAGGCUCGACAUAUGGUCGAGAAGUGGUUUCUAGCUUAUUUGGCUUAUGUCCGCGAUUCUAACGCGGGGGUUCUUUCCAUGGAUUCAGUGCCAGUUAUUCGUGAGUUCCAGAGCUGUUUCCUGCAGACCUGUCGGGGAUGCCACCCGAUAGGGACAUUGAUUUCUGUAUUGAUUUGGCUCCGGGUACUCAACCCAUUUCCAUUCCGCCAUACCGCAUGGCCCCGCUAGAGUUGAAAGAAUUAAAGGAACAAUUACAAGAUUUGCUUGAUAAGGGCUUCAUUAGACCUAGUGUAUCACCCUGGGGUGCACCAUCAAGAACAAGUACCCAUUACCGAGGAUUGAUAAUUUAUUUGAUCAGCUUCAGGGUGCCCAAAUAUUUUCAAAGAUUGAUUUGAGAUCUGGCUACCAUCAGUUGAGGAUUAGGGCAUGCGAUGUCCCUAAGACAGCUUUUCGGUCUCGGUAUUGGCAUUAUGAGUUUCUAGUUAUGUCAUUUGGGCUGACAAAUGCCCCAACAUCAUUCAUGGAUUUGAUGAACCGGGUGUUCAAGCCCUACUUAGAUUCCUUUGUGAUUAUGCUUAUUGAUGAUAUCUUGGUCUAGUCCCACAACCGAGAGGAGCACGAGCAACACCUUCAGAUCGUUCUUCAGACUCUGAGAGAUAGUUAGUUAUAUGCUAAGUUCUCAAAAUGUGAGUUUUGGUUGAGUUCAGGUGCUUUCUUGGGUCACGUUGUAUCAGUAGAGGGUAUUCAGGUGGAUCCUAGGAAGAUUGAGGCAGUUUAGAACUGGCCUAGACCCACAUCAGCUAUAGAGAUCCGUAGUGUCCUGGGUUUGGCGGGCUACUACCGUCGAUUUGUGGAGGGGUUUUCAUCAAUAGCAGCCCCGUUGACUAGGUUGACCCAGAAGGGUGCCCCGUUCGGGUGGUCAGAUGAGUGUGAGGCGAGCUUCCAGAAGCUCAAGACAGCUUUGACUUCGGCACGGUAUUGGUGUUACCCACAGGUUCAGGAUCUUAUACAGUAUAUUAUGACGCAUAUCGUAUUAGUCUGGGUGCGGUAUUGAUGCAGGGUGGUAAGGUUAUUGCAUAUGCUUUGCGGCAGCUGAAGGUUCAUGAGAAGAAUUACCCUGUUCAUGAUCUAGAGCUGGCAGCCAUUGUUCACGCACUGAAGAUUUGGAGGCACUAUAUUUACGGCAUGCCAUGUGAGGUAUUCAUGGAUCAUCGGAGCUUGCAGUAUUUGUUCAAGCAGAAGGAACUCAAUUUGAGGCAGAGGAGGUGGUUGGAGCUAUUGAAAGACUAUGAUAUCACCGUAUUGUAUCAUCCCGGGAAGGCUAAUGUGGUGGUCGAUGCUUUGAGUAGAAAGUCAGCUAGUAUAGGUAGCCUUGCUUAUAUUCCAGUUGGUGAGAGACCGCUUGCAUUGGAUGUUCAGGCCCUUGCCAAUCAGUUCGUGAGGUUGCAUGUUUCUGCGCCCAGCCGUGUUCUAGCUUGUACAGUUGCUCGGUUUUCUUUGUUUGAGCAUAUUUGAGAUCGGCAGUAUGACGAUCCUCAUUUUCUUGUCCUUAGAGACACAAUGCGGCAUGGUGGGGCCAAGCAGGUUACUGUUGGAGAUGAUGGAGUUUUGAGGAUACAUGAUCGUAUUUGUAUGCCUAAUGUCGAUGGACUUCGUGAGUUGAUUCUUGAAGAGGCCACAGUUCCCGGUAUUCUAUUCAUCCGGGCGUCGCCAAGAUGUAUAAGGACUUGCAGAAGCAUUAUUGGUGGAGGAGGAUGAAGAAAGACAUAGUUGCAUAUGUAUCUCGGUGUCUAAAUUGCUAGCAGGUAAAGUGUGAGCAUUAGAGACCUGGUGGUUUUCUUCAGAAGAUAGAGAUUCCUGAGUGGAUGUGGGAGCGUAUCACUAUGGAUUUUGUCGUUGGACUCCCACGGACUCAGAGGAAGUUCGAUGCAGUUUGGGUCAUUGUGGACAUGCUGACCAAGUCAGCACACAUCAUUCCUGUGGCAGUUACUUAUUCUUCGGAGCGGUUGGCAGAGAUUUACAUUUGUGAUAUCGUCCAUCUCCACGGUGUGCCCAUGUCUAUCAUUUCUGAUCAAGGUACACCAUUCACCUCGCACUUCUGGAGGGCAGUACAACAUGAGUUGGGUAUGCGAGUUGAGUUGAGCACAACAUUCCAUCCUCAGAUGGAUGGGCAGUCCGAGCGUACUAUUCAGAUCUUGGAGGAUAUGCUCCACGCAUGUGUUAUAGAUUUCGGAGGAUCAUGGGAUCAGUUCUUGCCCCUUGCAGAGUUUGCCUACAACAACAACUACCAGUCGAGCAUUCAGAUGGCUCCCUAUGAGGCAUUAUAUGAUAGGCGGUGCCGGUUGCCAGUUGGGUGGUGGUUCGAGCCGGGAGAGGCUUGGUUGUUGGGCACAGACUUAGUACAGGAUGCCUUGGAUAAGGUCAAGAUUAUUCAGGAUCGACUUUGCACAGCUCAGUCCAGGCAAAAGAGUUAUGCCGACCGUAGAGUUCGUGAUGUUGCAUUCAUGGUCGGGGGGAGAGAGUGUUAUUCGUGUAUCACUUAUGAAGGGUGUAAUGAGGUUCGGAAAGAAGGGUAAGUUGAGCCCUAGGUAUAUCAGACCUUUUGAGAUUAUGGAGAGAGUGGGAGAGGUGGCUUACAGGCUUGCAUUGCCACCUAGUUUAGCAGUUGUUCAUCCGGUAUUCCAUGUAUCCAUGCUUCAAAAGUAUCACCUUGAUCCGUCCCAUGUGUUAGAUUUCAGCUCUGUCUAGUUGAACAAGGAUUUGAAUUACGAGGAGGAGUCGGUAGCUAUUCUAGCCCGGCAAGUUCACCAGUUGAGAUCAAAGAGUUACCCUUCAGUUCGAGUGCAGUGGAGAGGUCAGCCUAUUGAGGUAGCUACUUGGGAGUCCGAGUCCGAUAUGCGGAGUAGAUAUCCCCACCUUUUCACCAGCCCAAGUACUUUUCUAUGUCCGUUCGAGGACGAACAAUUGUUUUAGAGGUGGAGAAUGUGAUGACCCAAAAGGUCAUCAUAUGUUUUAGAACUCGAUUCUGUGCUUUUAAGCUUUAAAAAUCUCAUUCUCACCCUCCUCGAUUUAUGUGCGCAGUCCGGACAUGUUUUCGGAAAACUUUUAUGUUGAAAAUUGAUGAAAAUAAAACUUUUGCCUUAAAAGUUGAUUUUAGUUGACUUCGGUCAACAUUUUUGGUAAACGGGCUCAAAUCCAUGUUUUGACGGUCCUGGUGUGUCCGUAUCGAAUUAUGGGACCUGGGCGUAUGCCCGGAAUUGAAUUCGGAGGUCCCUAGCUUGAGUUAUAAAUAUUUGAUGAAAAUUAAAAGUUUGAAUUUUUUUUAAGACGGUGUUGAUGUUUGGCCUUAUUGAUACCGGUCCGUAUUUUGGUUCUGAAUACCGGUAUAGGUCCAAUAUAAUAUUUAUGACUUACCUGUGAAAUUUGGUGAGAAACAGAGUUGGUUUGUCGUGAUUCAGACGUCUAGUUGAGAAGAUAGGAAUUUUAAAGUGUUCUUGAGAAUUUCAUUUGAUUUGGUGCUAAAUUCGUAGUUCUAGAUAUUAUUUUGGCGAUUUGAUCGUGCGAGCAAGUGCGUAUGAUGUUUUUAGACUUGUGCGCAUGUUUGGUUUGGAGCCCCGAGGGCUCGGGUGAGUUUCGGAUAGGCUACGGGAUGUUUUAGAUUUAAGAAAAUCUGGUAUUUCUGUUGUAUCUGCUAUGCUGUGCUUCGCAAUCGCGUAGUCACUCUUGCGAUCGCGAAGGGGAACCUGGGCUGGGGGAGGAUUUACUCUAUGCAAAUGCGAGACCAUGAGGGGGAGUUGCUCUAUGCGAAUGUGACCUAUCGAAUGCGAACGCGUAGCUUUUGCUAGGCUGGGUAGGGGACCUGGGAAAGUUCUAUGUAAACGCGAGCCCUUUCACGCGAACGCGAAGGUAAGGCGGGCUAAACCUUCGCGAACGCGUAGAGCCAUCCGCGAUCGUGUAGGUUUUUAGGAGGCUGCUCUUCGCGAAUGCGACAGAGUCCACGCGAUCGCGAUGAACACUGUCGCCCAGCACUUAACAGAAUCCAAACACGGGAUUUAGCCAAAAAAAUUCAUUUUCUCAAAAACCAAACGGUGAGAGGCGAUUUUCAAGAGUCAUUUCUUCCCCCAAAGUGUUGGUAAUGUGAUUCUAAAUCAUUUUCUUUCAAUUACCCAUUACAUUUCAUGAAUUAUCAACCUAAAAUCUAGAGUUUUCAUGGUAGAAUUUGGGGUUUGGGUAGAAUCUAGGGAUUUCAGAAAUUUGGGGAUUUAGACUUCAAUUUGAAGUCGGAUUCCAAAACCAAUUAUAUAUCUGUGCUCGGGGAUGAAUGGGUAAAUGGAUUUUGGUCCGAACCUCGGGUUUUGACCAAGCGGGCCCGGGGUCGAUUUUCGACCUUUUGGAGGAAAAUUUGGGAAAUUUAUUUUAUGCAAUGUAAUUGAUUCCUUUAGCAAUAUUUGAUAUUAUUGAGUCAUUCUUGAAUAGAUAUGAGUGGUUUGGAGGUGAAUUCUCGAGGAUAAGCUGUGAUUGAGAAUUAAGUGGCUUUCGGAGCAAGGUAAGUGUUGUGUCUAACCCUGACUUGAGGGAAUUAGGAACCUCAGAUUAUUUGCUAUGUGAAACUCAUGUGAGCGGCGUAUAUGUGAGGUGACGAGUACUUAUGCGCCGCCAAUUUACCUGUUUUCCCUCUUUUCUUCCAUUUUUUUAAUAUUGUCUCUUUCCUAUGCCUAAUUAUUACGUGUUUAGACUAGUAUUGUUAAAUUGAUCGUUCUUAUCAUGAUUACGAAUUCUCUAGUGAUAAUUGAGUAUUUAUUUCAAAGUUGAGAUUUAUAUUGUGGAACCAAUUGUUGAAGUAAGGCUUGUACUUAUUAUUCUAUCUCUCUGUUGUUAUUUAUGCAUUGCAUUAUGGUAAGGGAUAGUGUUAAUGCACGAAGGGCGAUGUCGUGCCAUGUUGUGAGUGUUAAUGCACGAAGGGUGAUACUGUGCCAUAUUGUGAGUGUUAAUGUACGAAGGGUGAUGUCGUGACAUGAUAUGAGAGUUAAUGCACGAAGGGUGAUGCCGUGCCGUUUCUAUUGAUUUAUGGAGAGACUGAGAGUAAAAGCACGAAGGGUGAUGCCGUGCAUUUUUUUCUUUACUGUAUUUGUGUUCCUGUUGAUUCAUAAUAUAUUGGUUGUUCCAGUUAUUAUUCUACUGUAGUUCUUUAUCUCGUAUUUUCCCCAACAUGUUUCCCUAUCCCGAUAUCUCCUGUCUAAUCCUUCAUUACUGUUAUUUGUAUAUAUAUUGUUAAACUGUACAGGUUGAUUUGUAGGUGCCUUGCCUUAGCCUCGUCACUACUUCGUCGAGGUUAGGCUCGACACUUACCAGUACAUGGGGUCAGUUGUACUGAUACUGAACUCUGCACUUUCUGUGCAUAUUUUGGUAUCGGCUCGAGUUGAUCGAGAUUUGGCUAUUGGACCGCUAUCCGGAGACUCAAGGUAAAUCUGUCGGUGUUCACAGACCUUGAAGUCCCCGUCUAUCNNNNNNNNNNNNNNNNNNNNNNNNNGUAGUAAAUUCUAGAAUGCUCGUGAAUUGUGACUCCAGAUCCGGAUGGUAGUAAUUAAUAAUAGUUUUUAUAUUAUUCCGCACUUAUUAUAUUUCACCUUAAUUAAUUUGCUGUUAUUUACUGAAUGGGAUAAGAGUUGGUUUAAUAAUUCUCUAGCGUUGGCUUGCCUAGCAAGUGAAAUGUUAGGCACCAUCACGGUCCCGACGGUGGGAAUUUCGGAUCAUGACAAUGUCACUUUGAAAUGACGUGACCUCGGGUUGCAGCUCACGGAAGGCCACGUUUCCACCUUGUCUAAAACACUUCUACUCCACCUGCUCAUCUAAACUUCUCAACCAUAACUAACAGAGUCCGUUCAUCGAGGUCGCCUAGGGUCGACAUCAAUAAGUGGAGGGACUAAAUGUAUAGGUCAAAAUCUACCUCAAUCGAAUUUAGCAUGGAGUGGUACUAUGGAGUGAUGUGGCCGAGGUCGACUAGUAGACAACGGGAAAAAAGAGGGGCAGUCAAUAAUUGCCAAGGUCAAAUAUCAAGGACGGUACUAACUGCUAGUUUUUGUAACACAAUAUUUAAGGGAAUAUUCCAUUGAAUAUUCUCUGUACAGGUACUUUUAGGGUUUACUGGGGAUAUGUCCCAUAUAAAUAGAAAAAGAGAUAAGGGGGAAGGGCAUGUAAGUUAUUCGGAUAAGAGUUGUUUUUGAGAAGAAGACUCUCUAGAAAAGAUACAAACACUACCUUUCUAAUAAGAUUCUACCAUCCAUUAUUCCAUACUUUACCAUCAGAUCCGAGAAUAGUUCAAAUAUUCUAGGAUUUGUCUAUCACGCAUCUCUGCCAGAAAGAAGAAUCAUCCACCUCAUUCGAUGUUGGGUGAAUCAUUCUCCUUAUUUACGUUUAUGCCAUUUAUUGUUAUUUAUUGCUUGAUAUUCUUCCAUCAUUACUUCUCUUGAAAUAUUAAAUGCAUACUGCAUUUAAUCCCUCACUAACACUAUCCUGCAUUAUUAGUGUUAGCUAGUUAUAAAUUCAAGGAUAUUAUUAUCAACUAGGAUUAAUCCCUCAUUACACAAAAUUGAUUAGUUUUUCCGAAGAUUUGCACUUUUUGGUCAAAUACAAAAUCCUCUUCCAGGACUCAAGAAAAACUUGGUUGCCUAAAAAUCGUGAAGGCGAGGUAGAGGCCAUGGUAGUAUGGUACUGUCAUGGGUGGCAAUGGAGGUUUUCGCUGGGAACAACAUCUUGAUGUGAAACCCCAUUCUUUAUAGAUAUGAUAAAAAAACUAAAGGAUCUAAGUUUGCUAUAGAAAUCAAAGUUGAUUGAUUGAAUUUUAAAUUCAACAGAGAAGAUGAUAACGCCGGAAACAAAGGAGAAAGGGGGAAAAAAGGAAAGAUAUAAAAAGUUAAAAAUUUAGUGGGACCCACAAAAUUUCCUUGAUCUUAAAUGAUAUAUUUAAGGAUUAAAUAAUAAAAAUGCUGACAUGUCAAUUUAUUUGAGGGAUCCUGAGUGCCACAAUGACAAAACGUUAGGGUUGUUGGUGUUUUUUCUUACUUUGUUAAUGGUAAGGUUGGACUUGAACGAAAAGUAUAACGGGGGACAAAUAUAAACUAUAUACAAUAGUACAAGGAGAAAUUCAGACUAUUUCCCUUUUAAUUCCCCUCAGCGGUCCCCCCUUUUUAACGCAAAAAAACUCUAUUGGAGCCCAUCGAUUCCACAAAAAGUAUAGAUUCUCGGUAUUGUAGCAAGCUAAUAUCGGAUCUAAGGCAUUAUCGCAUAGUGGAUUGCUCGUUUCGGCGCCCAAAUCAUCAAAUCUUCACCUUUCCAAAAAUUUAAAAUCGAGGUAUUCCGACUUUUUUUUUGUUAAAACUCAUGUAUUAAAAAUGCCUAUUAGUUGUUUUUCACUAUGAUAUAUGUUUUUUUGUGAUUGUUUUGCGAUUUAAUUAAUUUAUUAUUUUUUUAUCCAGAUUAGAUUAUUAUUGUGCUAUAAAAUAAUUAGUAAAAUAAAUAAAUUAUUAUUUUAUGAAUAAUUAAUGUUAUUAGUUGUUAUAAAAAAUAUUUAUUAGUUAUUUUUUACUGUGGUAUAUGUAUUAUUGUGAUUGUUUUAUGAUUAAAUUAAUUUGUUAUUUCUUAUCCGGAUUAGAUUAUUUAUGUGCUAAAAGAUUAGUAAAAUAGAUAAAUUAUUAUUUUAUAAAUAAUUAAUGUUAUUUAGUUUUCUUUAGUGUUAUGUUGUGCCCGUAAUUGUAAUGUAUUGCCAGUAAUUAUAAUGUGGUACCCUUUAGCGUAGUACAAUGUAGUGCCCUUUAGUGUAAUAUCUUUGUAGUUAUUAAAAUUAAUUAUUUAAUUAUUUGUCAACCCCAAAAAUUAUCUCGAAUACUAGUCAACAAAUGUAAGAAAAUAACAUAAAAACAACAAUAUUUGUCAAACUAAUUAUUUUGCAUAUGAAUACUUAUUAAUUAAAUCAUGUAUUCAUAUAAAAAUUAAUUAUUUAAUUCUUUUAUACCCAAAAAUAGGUGAGUAAGAAAGAAACAUAUAAAAUAAUAAACUAACAUAUAAAAUAACAAACUAACAUAUAAUAUAAUAAACUACCAUAUAAAAUAAGAAACUAACAUAUAAAAUAAUAAACUAACAUAUAAAAUUAUAAUAUAGAAAAUGUAUCAACCUAACUAACAAUAUAGUAAAAAUAUCUACUAAAUUAAUAUUGUUAAAUUUACAGACAUCGCCAUGGAUGUUCCCCUUGUGCAUCCUGGACCUGCAUCUCUAGAGCUACUGUUGCUACAGGCCAACCAAAGAUCUUCAUGAAUAUGGGAUGGGCAGUGUUGGUCCUAGACGUAUAGACGAUAUAUGGGAGUUCAUUAGGGCCCACCCACUCCAUUCCCGUAUAGUUAGACGCCUUCAGAAUAUAAGUUUCUACAAGAUCAUAGAGAUCGGCUGGUUGCAAUUCGACUGGGCGUUGAUCAUGACUAUGAUAGAGCGGUGGCGACCGAAGACACACGUUUCAUCUAUCCAUCGGCGAGGCUACCAUCACGCUUGAGGACGUGGAGGUUAUUUUCGGGCUGCCGGUUGAUGGAUUACUUUUAGCUUACCUGCAUGCUCUCAGAGACUACAGAGGUUUGCAUUACCUGCAUAUAUUGCAGCGGUUCACCGGAUUCCAGCCAGCGAACGAGACUGCAUGUGAUGACCCAAAAGGUCAUCUUUAAAUUUAAUAAUUAUUUAUAUGUUCUGAGACCUCAAAUAGCACUAUUCAUCAUUCCUCGACUUGCAUGCGCAAUCUGUAUAAUUUUCCGGAAAGUUUUUAUAUUUAAAAUUGAUUAAAAUGUGAAAUAAAGCCUUAAAACUCAACUGAGUUGCCUUUAGUCAAUAUUUUGAGCAAACGGACCCGGAUCACUAUUUUGACAGUUUCAGUAGGUCCGUAUCGUGAUUUAUGACUUGUGCGUAUGCCCGGAAUUUAAUUUGGAGGUACCUAGCUCAAGUUAUGGCCAUUUAACGGAAACUAGAAAUUUAAAGGCUAAAGAUUUCCAAAGUUUGACCACAGAUUUGACUUUUUGAUACCGGGGUUGUAAUCCAAUUCUGGAAAUUUAAAUAGCUUUGCUAUGUCAUUUAUGACUUGUGUGCCAAAUUUGAAGUCAUUCCGGAUUCGUGUAAUAUGUUUUGACACGAGUUUUACAAAUUGAAAAGUUUGAAAAUCUAAAGUUCGAAUUGAGGUGUAAAUUGUAAUUUCAGUAUUGUUUGAUGUGAUUUGAGACCCGGAGUAAGUCCGUAUUAUGUUAUGGAACUGGUUGGUAUAAUUGGACGAGGUCCCGAUGGGCUCGGGUCAGUUUCAGAUCAUUUUCGUAAAGGUUUGCAGGUCUGGUUCUGGUGUUUCGCACCUGCGACUUUUGGAGCGCAGGUGCGACCCCGCUUCUGCGGAGAGCCUCGUCGCUUCUGCAAUUUUGGAUAUGGGCAGCCUACUCGCUUCUGCGAGAAAAUGGUCGCAGAUGCGACUACCGCUUCUGUGGUUAGGCCUUCGCAAAUGCGGAAGGCACCGCUUCUGCGGCUCCUUCAUGCGCUUCUACGCAGCCGCAAAUGCGGCUCAACCUCCGCAGAUGCGGACACACGCUGGGAAAGCCUAUUUCGCAGAUGCAAGAUUUUUCUCGCAAAUGCGAGCUCGCAGUUGCGAAAAUAUGUCUGCAGAUCCGAAAAUACUGGACAAAAUGCUUAAAAAUCAGGAGUUAGCCAUUUUUACUCAUUUUUGAGUUUUGAGUCACGGAUUUGGGCGAUUCCAAAGGGGUUUUUCACGACUUUGAAUUGGGUAAGUGUUCUAUAACUAAAAAUGAUUAUAUUUCAUGAAUCCAUGUCUAUAUGCAUCAUUAAUUUCAGAUUUAGAUGGAAGAAAUUGGAAUUUUUGUAAAACUUACCUAAAACGAAAAAUUUAGAUUUGAAGGUCCAUUUGACAUUGGAAUUUGAUAAUUUUUGUAUUGUUGGACUCACCUCGGAACGGGUGUUCGGAUUUCAUAAGUUUUUUUGAGAUUCUAGACAUGGGCCCCACUGUUGAUUUUUGAGAUGAAUUUUGGAAUUUAAUCCGAAAAAUUAAUAAAUUCAUAUGGAAUUAAUUCCUACGAUUUGUAUUGAGUAUAUUGAAUUGUUUAUGACUAGAUUUGAGUAUUUUGGACACGAAUUCGUGAGGCAAAGGCUUAUUGAAUUCUUAUAUUUGGUUGCAAAGCGAGGUAAGUGUCGUGGUUAACCUUGACUUGAGGGAGUAGGACUUAUUUGUCUAUUUGCUACGUGAUUUAAUGUGCGGGUACACCGUAUAUGUGAGGUAACGAGUAAUUAUGCGUUGUGGUUGAGUCAAAACAUGCGGGUGGAAUUUGUUUAUUGUGAAUAAUUGCCUAUUUAAUUAAGAUAUUCCUGCUUAAGUUUAUUAUUGAUUAUUUGAUCAUUAUUCGUGAAAUUAUUAUUCAUUUAAUUAUUGGUGAAUAUUUUGGAAGGUGAAGUCGGUAUUCUGGUAUUGAAUUGAUUGAUAAGUGUAUAUCCCCGCUUUUAAAUACUCUUCCGAAUUUAUAUUAUUAUUUUCAUAGUAAGGAAUAGUGUAAAAACACGAAAGGGUAUUGUCGUGCCAUUUGUGAGUGUAAAAGCACGAAGGGUGAUGCCGUUUCAUUUUCAGAGAGCGUAAAAGCACGAAGGGUUAUGCCGUGCCAAAAGAGAGUUCAAGUACGAAGGAUGAUGCCGUGCCAAUUAUUAUUAUUAUUAUUAUUAUUAUUAUUAUUAUUAUUAUUAUUAUUAUUUAUUAUUAUUAUUAUUAUUAUAUUAUUAUUAUUAUUAUUAUUAUUUAUUUAUCAGUUUAUGAGAGGAAUGAGAGUAAAAGUACGAAGGGCGGUGCCGUACCAUUUUCAUAUCAUCAGUUGCUCAUUUUAUUGUUGAGGAAAUAUUUGGCUGCUAAAUGAUAAUUCUCCUGCUGAAAUUAUUAUAUCAACCCCCUUCGCAUGUUCCCUCCUAAAUUUAUAAAGUGUUAUUUACUGUUUUAUUGUUGCUUCGUAUUUGUAUAUACUUGUACAGGUUGUUUACGUAGGUGUCAUGUCAUAGCCUCGUCACUACUUCAUCGAGGUUAGGCUCGACACUUACGGAGUACAUGGGGUCGGUUGUACUCAUACUACACUCUGCACUUCUUGUGCAGAUUUUAGAGUUGGUCCCAGUAGCGUACCAUAGACGUGCUCGAAUUCAGCUACUCAGAGGAUACUUGAGGUAUAACUGCACAACGUUCGCAGUUCUGAAGUCCCCUUCUAUCUUAUCUCAGUUGUGUAUUAUCUUUCAAACAACUUGAAAUUUAUUUAGACCUUUAUUUGUAUUAUCCUAGUAUCUCGUGCACUUGUGACACCAGAUUCGGGGAUGUAUUUUAAUAAUUCGAUAUUUAUUGUCUUCUACAUUUUAUUUCAACAAUUGACUUCUAUUUAAUUAAAUUUGAUUAAAAAUAAUUAAGAUUAUUUUAACAUUGACUUGCCUAGCAAGUGAAAUGUUAGGCGCCAUCACGAUCCUAAAGGUGGGAAUUUUGGGUCGUGACAGUAGGUAUUAGAGCACUAGGUUACUUAGGUCUCACGAGUCACGAGCAAGCUUAGUAGAGUCUGAAGGAUCGGUACGAAGACGUCUGUACAUAUCUUUCAGAGCUAUGAAGUUUAGGAACAAUAUCACUUCUUUUUUAAUCUGUCGUGCAAUCUUAUUCUAUCAUCGAUGAUUGAACCAUUCUAUUCUUAUUCUCUCGCAGAUGGUGACGAUGGACAGGGACCAGACGCCCCCGGUGGCAACUAUGACCAGGGGUAAAGGUCGAGGCCGAGGUCGUGUCAGAGACCGAGGUAGAUGCAGAGGCAGAGCUCAAGCUAGAGCUCAAGCAGCAGCACCCGUAGUAGAACCUCAGGUGGAUAUUCAGGAGGAGGUUCCAGUUCAAACAAUACCAGUUGGACCCGUUCAGGUCCCGGAAGGAUUCAUAGCUACUCCAGUGCUUCAGGACGCCCUAGUCCGUUUGGUGAGUCUUAUGGAGGGCGUGACCCAGAAUGGUACGUUUCCAGUGGCACCAACCGUCUCACAAGUUGGGGGAGGAGCACAAACUCCUACUACUCCCGCUCCGGAGCAGAUGGCUCCCCAGUAUCAGGCUCCAGCAGCCCCGCCAAUUGGGGUAGUUCAGCCAGUUAUUGCGGCACAGGCCGGUGAUAUGGCCGCCAUGUCAUCUGAAGCCUUAUUGAGACUGGAUAAAUUUACUAAGCUCUUUCCAAUUCACUUCAGUGGUACACUUUCUAAGGACCCACAGGAUUAUCUUGACUGCUGCCAUGAGGUGCUGCGGAUCAUGGGUAUAGUUGAGACCAAUGAGGUCGAUUUUGCUGUAUUUCAGAUGACGGGUUCCGCCAAGAGGUGGUGGAGAGAUUUUAUGUUGACCAGACCAGCUGGGUCACCUACACUGACUUAAGAGCAGUUCUCACGACUAUUUCUAGAGAAGUUCCUCCCUAUCACAUUGAGAGAGGAUUUUCGCAGGCAGUUUGAGCGUCUCCAGCAGGGCAGUAUGAUUGUUACUCAGUACGAGACCCGUUUUGUGGAUCUAGUGAGGGAGAGAAAGUGAGGAGGUUUAUUGAAGGACUUACUCACCCUAUCAGGCUUCAUAUGGCCAAGGAUACCGGAAGUGAGAUUUUCUUUCAGGCGACUGCUAAUGUUGCUAGGAGGAUCGAGAUGGUUCUUGCACAGGAAAGAGGGCAGGGUCUGAUAAGAGGCCUCGCCAGUUUGGUGGGUUCAGUGGUGCCUCGUAUGGGGGAAAGGGUAAUUUUGGUAGGGGUCAUCCUCCCAGGCCGUUUCAUUCAGCACUCCAAGCAUCCUACAGUGCACCACCAUCUCCUAUCAGUGCACCUCGGAUCCAGAGUUUUUAGUAUGGUUACUUAGGUAGACAAGGACAAUUUUAGCAUCAGCAGUCACAACAGUCGACGUCCUAUUAUACUUGUGGUGAUCCGAGGCACAUUGCUAUAUUCUGCCCCAGGUCUCAGGGCAGCAUGCAGUAGCAGGGUUCUCGUGCUAUGAUUCCAGUACCGAUUGCUUCACCACCUGCUUAGCCAGUUAGAGGUAGGGGUCAGGCAGCUAGAGGUGGAGGUUAGACCAUUAGAGGUAGAGGUCAGGCCGUUAGAGGUGGAUGCCAGCCAGUUAGAGGCCGUCCCAGGGACGCAAUUCAGAGUGGUAGGGCCCAGCCUUGAUUUUAAGCUUUUCCAGCUAGGCUUGAGGCCGAGUCUUCCGAUGCCGUGAUUACAUCUAUUCUUUCAGUUUGCCAUAGAGAUUCUUCAGUUCUAUUUGAUCCAGGAUCUACUUAUUCCUAUGUGUCCUCCUAUUUUGCUUCAUAUUUGGUGAUGCGUCGUGAUUCUCUGAGUGCUCCUAUGUGUGUGUCCACUCCGGUGGGAGAUUCUAUCGUGGUAGAUCAUGUCUAUCAUUCAUGUAUGGUUACUAUUGGGAGUCUUGAGACUAGUGUGGAUCUUCAACUUCUUGAUAUGGUAGAUUUUGAUGUCAUCUUGGGUAUGGAUUAGUUGUCACCUUAUCGUGCUAUAUUGGAUUGUCAUGCCAAGACGGUGACCCUAGCCAUGCCAGGGUUACCUCUAUUAGAGUGGAAAGGAACUCCUGGUUAUUCUACCAGCAGGGUUAUUUCUUAAGGCUCGACGUAUGGUAGAGAAGGGGUGUCUAGCCUAUUUGGCUUAUAUUUGCAAUUCCAGUGCGGAUGUUCCUUCUAUGGACUCAGUGUUAGUUGUUCGUGAAUUUCCCGAACAGAGAUAUAGACUUCUGUAUUGAUUUGGCUUCGGGCACUCAGCCCAUUUCUAUUCCACCAUACCAUAUGGCCCCGCCGGAACUGAAAGAGCUAUUACAAGACUUGCUUGAUCAUGGAUUUAUUAGACAUAAUGUCUUGCCCUGGGGUGCACCAGUGUUAUUUGUAAAGAAGAAAGAUGGUUCAAUGCGAAUGUGUAUAGAUUAUCGACAAUUGAACAAGGCUACCGUCAUGAAAAAUUAUCCACUACCAAGAAUGUAUGACUUAUUCGAUCAGCUUCAGGGUGCCAAGGUGUUUUCAAAGAUCGACUUGAGGUCUGGUUACCAUCAGUUAAAUAUUAGGGCAUCUGAUGUCCCUAAGAUAACUUUUCGGACUCGGUAUGGGCAUUACGAAUUCCUAUUAAUGUCAUUUGGGCUGACAAAUGCCCCAACAACAUUUAUGGAUUUGAUGAAUCGGGUGUUCAAGACCUAUUUGGAUUAUUUUAUGGUUGUAUUCAUUGAUGAUAUCUUGAUUUACUCCAGCAAGUGAGAAGAGCAUGAGCAGCAUCUUCGGAGUGUGCUUCAGACUUUGAAGAAUAUUCAGUUAUAUUCCAAAUUUUCAAAAUGUAAAUUCUAGUUAGACUUAGUUGCCUUUUGGGGGCAUGUUGUAUCGGCAGAAGGCAUAAAAUUGGAUUCUAAGAAGAUUGAGGUUGUUCAUAAUUGGCCUAGACCUACUUCAGUUAUAGAUAUCCGGAGUUUCCUGGGUUUGGCAGGUUAUUAUCAUCGGUUCGUGGAUGGGUUUUCAUCUAUAACAAGCCCAUUGACCAGACUGACCCAGAAAGGUGUUCCAUUCGGAUGGUCAGACGAGUGUGAGUUGAGCUUUGAGAAGUUCAAGACUGCUUUGACUACGGCGCUAGUGUUGGUAUUACCCACAUGUUCAGGAUCUUAUAUGGUGUAUUAUGAUGCAUCUCAAGUUGGGCAUAGUGCAGUAUUGAUGCAAGAUGGCAAGGUGAUUGCAUAUGUGUCGCGGCAGUUGAAAGUUCACGAGAAGAAUUAUUUUGUUCAUGACUUAGAAUUGGCAGGCAUUGUUCAUGCGCUGAAGAUUUAGAGGCAUUACUUGUACGGUGUCUCGUGUGAGGUAUUUACUGAUCAUCGUAGCUUACAAUAUUUGUUCAAAUAAAAGGAUCUCAAUUUGAGGCAUAGAAGAUGGUUGGAGCUAUUGAAGGACUAUGAUAUCACUAUUUUGUAUCACCCCGGAAAGGCCAAUGUGGUGGUCGAUGCUUUGAGUAGAAAGGCUGUGAGUCUGGGCAGCCUUGCGCAUAUUCCGGUUGGUGAGAGGCUGUUAGCUGCAGAUGUUAAAACUUUGGCUAAUCAGUUCGUGAGGUUAGAAGUUUCAGAACCCAGUCGGGUUCUAGCUUGCACAGUCGCUCGGUCUUCUUUAUAUGAGCGCAUCAGAGAGCGGCAAUAUGAAGAUCCUCAUUUACUUGUCCUAAAGGACACGAUGAGGAACAGUGAUGCCAAACAAGUUACUGUAGGGGAAGAUGGAGUUCUACGAAUGCAGGAUCGUAUUUGUGUGCCUAAUGUGGAUGGACUUCGUGAAUUAAUUUUGGAAGAGGCUCACAGUUCCAGGUAUUCUAUUCAUCCAGGUGCCGCCAAAAUGUAUCAAGAUUUGCGGCAACAUUAUUGGUGGAGGAGAAUAAAGAAGGAUAUGGUUGUAUAUGUUAGCUCCGUGUCUGAAUUGUUAGCAAGUUAAGUACGAGCAUCAGAGACCUGCUGGUUUGCUUCAGAAGUUAGAAAUUCCUGAGUGGAAGUGGGAACGUAUCACUAUGGAUUUUGUUGUUGGGCUUCCACGGAAUCAGAGAGAAUUUGACACAGUUUGGGUCAUUGUGGACAGGUUGACCAGAUCAGCACAUUUCAUUCCAGUGACAGUUACUUAUUCUUCAGAGCGGUUAGUUGUAAUUUACAUUCGUGAGAUUGCCUGCCUUCAUGGUGUUCUCGUGUCUAUCAUUUUUGAUCGAGGUACACAGUUUACUUCGCACUUCUGGAGGGCAGUACAACAUGAGUUAUGCACGCGGGUUGAGUUGAGUACAACAUUUCAUCCACAGACAGACAGACAGUCAGAACGCACAAUUCAGAUAUUGGAAGAUAUGCUUCGCGCUUGUAUUAUAGACUUUGGAGGUUCUUGGGAUCAAUUAUUUUCACUUGCGGAGUUUGCCUAUAAUAAUAGCUACCAGUCGAUCAUUCAGACGACUUCAUAUAAGGCAUUAUACGGAAGGUGAUGUCGUUCGCCGGUUGGCUGGUUUGAACCGGGAGAGGCUCGGUUAUUGGGUACCAAUUUGAUACAGGAUGCCUUGGAUAAGGUCAAAAUUAUUCAGGAUCAACUUCGCACAGCUCAGUCUAGGCAAAAGAGUUAUGCCGACCGUAAAUUUUGUGACAUUGCAUUCAUGGUUGGAGAGAUAGUAUUUCUCGGGGUUUCACCUAUGAAAGGUGUAAUGAGAUUCAGAAAUAAGGGCAAGUUGAACCCUAGGUAUAUUGGACCCUUUGAAAUUCUUGAAAAUGUGGGUGAAGUAGCCUACAUGUUUGCACUACCACCUAGUUUAUCAGUAGUUCAUCCGGUGUUCCAUGUGUCUAUGCUCCAGAAAUAUCAUGGUGAUCCUUCCCAUGUGUUAGAUUUCAGCUCAGCCCAAUUGGACAAGGAUUUAACUUACGAAGAGGAGCCGGUAGCCGUUCUAGCUCGGCAGGUCCGACAGUUGAGGUCUAAGAAUUAUCCUUCAGUUCGGGUGCAAUGGAGAGGUCAAUCAAUUGAGACAGCUACCUGGGAGUCCGAGUCGGAUAUGAGGAGUAAAUAUCCACAACUUUUUACCAGCUCAGGUACUUUUCAAAUUCCGUUCGAGGACGAACAUUUGUUUUAGAGAUGGAGAAUGUGAUGACCCAAAAGGUCAUCUUUAAAUUUAAUAAUUAUUUAUGUGUUCUGAUCAAAUAGCACUAUUCAUCAUUCCUCGACUUGCGUUCAUCUUUAAAUUGAAUAGCUCCGCUAUGUUAUUUAUGACUUGUGUGCCAAAUUUGAAGUCAUUCCGCAUUCGUUUAAUAUGUUUUGGCACGAGUUUUACAAAUUAAAAAGUUUGAAAAUCAAAUGUUUGAAUCGAGGUGUGAAUUGUAAUUUUGGUAUUGUUUGAUGUGAUUUGAGACCCUGAGUAAGUCCGUAUUAUGUUAUGGAACUGGUUGGUAUAAUUGGACGAGGUCCCUAGGGGCUCGGGUGAGUUUCAGACGUGUUUCAAAUCAUUUUCGUAAAAGUUUGCAGGUCUAGUUUUGGUGUUUCGCACCUGCGAAUUUUGGAGCGCAGGUGCGGCCCCGCUUCUGCGGAGAGCCUCGUCGCUUCUGCGAUUUUGGAGCUGGGCAGCCUACUCACUUCUGAGAGAAAAUGGUCGCAAAUGCGACUACCGCUCUGUGGUUAGGACUUCGCAAAUGCGGAAGGCACCGCUUCUGCGACUCCUUCAUGCGCUUCUAUGCUGCCGCAAAUGCGGCUUAACCUCCGCAUAUGUGGACACACACUGGGCAAGCCUAUUUCGAAGAUGUGAGAUUUUUCUCGCAAAUGCGAGCUCGCAUAUGUGAAAAUAUGUCCGCAGAUGCGAAAAUGCUCGAAAAAAUGCUUUAAAAUCGGGAGUUAGCCAUUUUUACUCAUUUUUGAGUUUUGAGUCUCGAAUUUGGGCGAUUCCAAAGGAGGUUUUUACGACUUUGAAUUGGGUAAGUGUUCUAUAAUAAAAAAUGAUUAUAUUUCAUGAAUCCAUAUCUAUAUGCAUCAUUAAUUUCGGAUUUAGAUGGAAGAAAUUGGAAUUUUUGUAAAACUUUCCAAAAACAAAAAAUUUAGAUUUGAAAGUCCAUUUGACAUCGGAAUUUGAUAAUUUUUGUAUGGUUGGACUCGCCUCGGAACGGGUGUUCAGAUUUCAUAAGUUUUUCCGAAAUUCUAGACGUGGGCCCCACUGUUGAUUUUUUAGAUUAAUUUCGGAUUUUAAUCCGAAAAAUUAGUAAAUUCAUAUGGAAUUAAUUCAUACGAUUUGUAUUGAGUAUAUUGAAUUGUUUAUGACUAUAUUUGAGGAUUUCGGACACGAAUUCACGAGGCAAAGGUUUAUUGGAUUCUUGAAUUUGGUUGCAAAGUGAGGUAAGUGUCGUGGUUAACCUUGACUUGAGGGAGUGGGACUUAUUUGUCUAUUUGCUACGUGAUUUAAUGUGCGGGUACAACGUAUAUGUGGGGUGACGAGUACUUAUGCGUUGUGGUUGAGUCAAAGCAAGCAGGUGGAAUUUGUUUAUUGUGAGUAAUUGCCUAUUUAAUUAAGAUAUUCCUGCUUAAGUUUAUUAUUGAUUAUUUGAUCAUUAUUCAUGAAAUUAUUAUUUAUUUAAUUAUUGGUGAAUAUUUUGGAAGGUGAAGUCGGUAUUCUGGUAUUGAAUUGAUUGAUAAGUGUAUAUCCCCGCUUUUAAAUACUCUUCCGAAUUUAUAUUAUUAUUUUCAUGGUAAGGAAAGAGUGUAAAAGCACGAAGGGUAUUGUCGUGCCAUUUGUGAGUGUAAAAGCACGAAGGGUGNNNNNNNNNNNNNNNNNNNNNNNNNNNNNNNNNNNNNNNNNNNNNNNNNNNNNNNNNNNNNNNNNNNNNNNNNNNNNNNNNNNNNNNNNNNNNNNNNNNNNNNNNNNNNNNNNNNNNNNNNNNNNNNNNNNNNNNNNNNNNNNNNNNNNNNNNNNNNNNNNNNNNNNNNNNNNNNNNNNNNNNNNNNNNNNNNNNNNNNNNNNNNNNNNNNNNNNNNNNNNNNNNNNNNNNNNNNNNNNNNNNNNNNNNNNNNNNNNNNNNNNNNNNNNNNNNNNNNNNNNNNNNNNNNNNNNNNNNNNNNNNNNNNNNNNNNNNNNNNNNNNNNNNNNNNNNNNNNNNNNNNNNNNNNNNNNNNNNNNNNNNNNNNNNNNNNNNNNNNNNNNNNNNNNNNNNNNNNNNNNNNNNNNNNNNNNNNNNNNNNNNNNNNNNNNNNNNNNNNNNNNNNNNNNNNNNNNNNNNAUUAUUAUUAUUAUUAUUAUUAUUAUUAUUAUUAUUAUUAUUAUUAUUAUUAUUAUUAUUAUUAUUAUUAUUAUUAUUAUUAUUAUUAUUAUUAUUACUAUUAUUAUUAUUAUUAUUGUUGUUGUUGUUUAUUUAUCAGUUUAUUAGAGGAAUGGGAAUAAAAGCACGAAGGGCAGUGCCGUGCCAUUUUCAUAUCAACAGUUGCUCCAUUUAUUGUUGAGGAAAUAUUUGUCUGCUAAGUGAUAAUUCUCCUGCUGAAAUUAUUAUAUCAACCCCCUUCGCAUGUUCCCUCCUAAAUUUAUAAAGUGUUAUUUACUGUUUUAUUGUUGCUUCGUAUUUGUAUAUACUUGUACAGGUUAUUUACGUACGUGUCCUGUCAUAGCUUCGUCACUACUUCGUCGAGGUUAGGUUCGACACUUACGGAGUACACGAGGUCGAUUGUACUCAUACUACACUCUGCAUUUCUUAUGCAGAUUUUGGAGUUGAGGUAUAACUGCACAACGUUCGCAGUUCUAGAACUCCCCUUCUAUCUUAUCUCAUGUGUGUAUUAUCUUUCAAACAACUUGAAUUUUAUUCAGACCUUUAUUUGUAUUAUUCUAGUAGCUCGUGUACUUGUGAUACCAGAUUCGGGGAUGUAUUUUGAUAAUUCGGUAUUUAUGGUCUUCCGCAUUUUAUUUCAGUAAUUGACUUCUAUUAAUUAAAUUUGAUUAAAAAUAAUCUAGAUUAUUUUAACGUUGGCUUGCCUAGCAAAUGAAAUGUUAGGCACCAUCAUGAUUCUGAAGGUAGGGCCAGUGUUUGUAGCUGACGCCCGUCCGGCAGCAUCUGGAGGUGAUGUAUGCGGAGAUUACGGAUGAUUCACCACCGGAGGUUAUCGACCGACACACGAGAUUGGUGUUGUUGCUGAUGUUUGGUGGUGUACUGUUCCCAAACACACGAGACCUAGCCAGCUUGAGAUUUCUACAUCAUCUUUAGCGGCUAGAUGAUUUACCUGGUUACAGCUCGGGUGUAGCUAUUCUAGGUUACCUGUAUAGCCAGAUGUGUCGGGCUAGCAUGGCCUCCCAGAGAGACGUUGCCGGAUUUUUACCGCUACUGCAGGUGAAAACAUAGUCAAUUCUUUUCAUGAUUAUAACAUACAUAGUAAAAGAAUACCUUAAAUGUUUUGUCCACAAUCUUAUUAGGUUUGGGCCUGGGAGCGAUUCCUACAGUUCCAGCCACCUCUACUACCCAUCGCUCCGGAUGCACCACCUCCAGCGUUUCUCCCUUUAGCUUGGAGGUGGGUUGAUAGACGAGGCUAGGGACGCGAGUUCGAGGCUCGACAUCAUAUCCCCUAUUACAGGGAUUUGUUGGAUUUUCUUGAAGGCGCACAGGUACAUGUAUUCUUAAGUUUACUUGGUUUGGCUUUAUAUGUGGUGUUUACUCACGAUUCCUGUGUUUAAUUAAUAGUUCUUAUGGAGGCCACAGAGUGACGCGCUCAUAGCUGGUUUGCCCGAUUAUUGUUCCCGCGGACGAGCUAUGUGGAGCUCUUCUGUCCCACUGAUAUGUCUUGAUAUUGUCGAGCAUCAUGCCACCUAGCGAGUCCUUCACCAGUUUGGUCGACCGCAACUUGUACUUAUUCCGCCCGCUUGCCUUAGGACACAUUACCAGCGGGAUGAUCGUUCCAAGGCUGAUCAGACAUACUUGGACUGGCUAGAGGCCCGGAUUGAGAUUUGGGACCAGAGGUAUGACCUGAUUACGCCACCCCCUCCACCUGAGCAUACGGAUGGGGAGCAUGAGUAUAUGGGCUGGUAUCGCAGCGUUACCCGAUUUUCCGUCGGGAAUCCCGUUCAUCGCACUAGUGGUCGGUACAUUCCAUACGCCGGGAGGCAUGGGGCACUGGUAUGUUAUUUAUAUACUUACUUAUAACGUUAAAUUAUCCUUCCUUAAUUAAUAUUUGACAUGUUAUGCAGGCUAUUGGCUUACAUUAGUUCUACCAGUUGGGACUGCAGAUGCAGCAAUAUACAGGCAAGAGAGCGACAACUUUGCAUGAGUAUGGCUGGCAGGUUACAAAUCUGGCUGCACAGACAUUGAGGCGUGCCCGAGAUGAUGAGUGAUUAGGAUACGAAGUUGCUUAUGUGCGCCGCCACAGGAGUACCAUCAUGGGCCACCAGUGAAACUUCAACGUGGUAGACAUGGCAGGCGUGGCCAGAGAGGAAGGAGUGUCCAACGAGGUUGUGGUGGUCGGCUAGGACAGAGUCCCCAUCAAGGGGGCGUUGAGGAAACCGUGGAGGAUAUUAGAGAUGAUCAGCCGAGUGACCACCCUGAGCCACACGAUGCUCCUCAUGAUAUGCCACCAUUCGGCCUUCAACUGUCUUCAGGGACUUUGCAGUUGACCUCGUCAGCUCCAUUAUUGAUCGCGGGAACGUCCAUUCCGCGACAGGAGUGGGAUCAGUAUUUUCCUGAUCCCCCAAAGCCAUCGACAGUUGCUCAGGAUCGUCCGACACGAGACGUGCGUAGUGGGCGACGACUGAGUUAUGGAUCAUCAUCGAGGAAUGCUGAGGAUCUAGCACAUACUUCAUCUAUUCCAGCACACCUCGAUGUUCCGACAGAGCAUUGCGGUGCUACUCAGGCGCAUGUUUGUUUGUAUUACUAUCAUUUCUAUUUGUUUUUAUCUCAUUGAUUAGUCAGUAAUAUCUAAAGCAUUUUAAUUUAUUUUAAAGACUUCGGCAUUGCCCGUCACAGAGGCCGCAUUGUGCGUUACUAAGAUGCCGGAGACAGAUGAUCUAAUUUAGGAGCCCGCUGAGACCAUGGUACGACCAUUAUAAGUUUUUCCCACGGUUCGUUAGUAAUUAUUAUUUCAUAUAGUAAAAUAUCUUAUUAUUCUGUAGGUUACUGCCGGCCCGACGACCACUUCUACUGAGUUUGCUAGCCUUACCGAAGAUCAUGCUGCAGCGCAUCCUCCGAUAAAGAGGAGAUGUAAUGAGGAUGAUCCUGAUAGCGUAGCCAGGUAGGAUGGGAUGUGCCUCAGGCCAGCCAAUGCUUUAAAGCAUAUAGGCUCUGGGACACAUUGACAUUUAUUAUUAUUUGUGUAUAUGACAUUAAAUAUAUAAUAACAACAUUAUUUAUGUUUUACAUAAUUUGCGCAUGUGUUUUUAUUUCUCGAGAUAUUUAGUAGUUUAACAGUACAACACACAAAAAAUGACAGAUUAACAUAAAAUUUAAAUUCGUUACCAAUUCGUUAUCGCCAUCUGCUUGAAUGACAUUUGCACAAUGGAAGUGACUAGCAAUCCACGUGCAAACUUCAAUAACCCAUUGAAAGACUGACACAUUUGUAGUUAGGAUUUCCUAUCUUCUACCACCAUCCGCAUGCAAAGUCCACUUGUCAAGCUCAUGUCACAUCAACCAACGAUAGGCUUCUGGGUCUUCUUGCCUGAUCAAUUCCAUUCGCCUCCUGAAUUUACACUCUUGGUAAUCUGUUGGAGCCAUCCACAUUAAAUCAUGCAAGUCCUUAUUAGCAUAAGCCCUCUAGAAGUUGGCCUUCAAGUGCCUAACACAGUAAUGGUGGUAGGCAUACGGUUCUUGCGAUGAAUGCAAAUUCUCUACAGAACUUAAAAUACCGCCACACCGAUUAGAUAUUAGACAAAUACCUGAACAUUAUGUGACAAUGUGCUCCUUUAAAUGGUUCAAAAACAAUGUCCAUGUCUCUUGGCUUUCAUUGGCACAAAUAGCAAAUGCUAGGGGAAAUAUACUUCCAUUAGCAUCUACUACAACGGCGAUCAACAACUUAAUAUCGUACAUUCCAUAAACAUGAGUACCAUCUAUGGAUAUUACCGAUCGACGAUACACAAAACCACCAAUGGUUGGUUUAAAUGCCCAGAACACAUAUCUGAAUAUGUGUUCCGGUAUUCCCGGACUCCGCUCAAGCUUCCAUUCAACAAUAGUCCUGGGGUAAAGUGUUUCAAUGCGGCCAUAUACCUGGGUAGAUAUGCAAAGUACUUAUCCCAGUUACCAUAAAUAAUUUCAAACGCACGUUUGCACCGGAGAAAUGCCUUUCUUUUGGUAAUGGUACUGUUACGGCCCAAACUGAUGGGUUGUGGCGAGUGCCCGAGUUCUACCUACCGAACACCCCUAAGCAUACGUCUAUGAUAUAAACAUGAAAUAAGUAUAGGUCAUGCAUAAUAUCUGACCCCAAACUGCUGAAUCAUGUGAAUAACAUACAUGAUGAGACAAACCCAAAAAGACAUAUAUAUACAUAUACAUGCGGAAUACAGUAGGGCAAGCCGACAAGGUCACAUACUAUCCAACUAUACAUGACUGUCUACAAACCUCGAAUAGAGUGUAAAUUUGUAUAAAGUACGGGACUAGGCCCCGUCAUACCCUUAUAUGUAUACAAAAGUAUCGUACCAAAAACCCAAAAGCAGCUCCAUAUCAAAUGGAGCACACUAACUCUCGCUAAGCUAGGAUCCUAAGGAGGGGGGCCGUCAACCUGUCUACCUGCACCUGCAGCCAUGAAACGCAGCCCCCCAGGCAAUAGGGGUGUUAAUACGAAUAGUGUACCGACUAUGUAAGGCAUAAAAAUCAAUAUAUAAAAGAAAUGAAAGAAACAUGGAGUAAAGAACUCAACCUGUAAGUCUAAAUAGCUUUGUGAAUCAUGAAAAUAUUUAUAAUGUCAUGCGUAUGCAUAUAAAUGUCAUAUCAUGCAUAUGUAUAUGUGUACAUAACAUCAUCAAGCUUUUUAGGGCAUCCCAUCAUAUCAUCUCAGCCUCUGUGGGAGAAAUAUUAAACGUAUACCAGCUGAUAGGUGGUGGUGCAUAUAAAACGUCAUAACCUUUCCUUAUAUCACAUAUACAUAUAAUAUACGCGUAUAUAACGUCAUCUGGUCAUGGGUCAAUGUACAUGUAUAAAUGAAUGCAAUGCAUAAGGAAUUAAGUCCAUAAGAUCUCUCUAAAUAUCAUAAGACCCAUAAACAGACGAUAUGAUAGCAAGACAUAUAGGGAAUCAAGAACAUAGGCAACCCAAGUACUUUUAGGAAUAGAAUUAUUUGUAAACGUUACGUGCUUUCUCGUUUUAUUGCAUUAUAUAGAUCAUGCCAAAAGGAAAGAAGUGAUAGCCUUAACAUGCCAGUAUGAUCUCUUCCUUAUUACUCAACCAAGCUCAACACAACUUCUUUCAUCUACAACAAGUGAAAUGAUAUUGCCGUUAACAUUUAAUGUCGUACCAUCGUAUUUGGCUAGUCGUAUGGCUUAAGAAAAAUCGGGCAGCAACUCCCCUAUUUUUAAUACAUCCCAAAUACCACUAAGGGUCAUCAACAUCCCAACAACAACAACUAUAACUAACAAUAGCAACAACAACAAUAUAAUCCAAUAUGAGUUUCUCCGAUUAUCUUUACAACCAAAUUGAGCGGCAAACUCAUUUUUACUUAUAACAAGAUAUAAAUUAAAUCCAAAUCUUAAUCCAUAAAUUAGUUUAUAACCUUCAGAACAUCAUACUUGUAUGUACUAUAUUAUUUCUAGUUCAAAAUAUCCACAAAAUGCCUUCCAAAAUAGCCCCAUAAGUCUAACACCUUAAUUUUUAUCGUCAAUCACUUGUUUUUCAUCUUUUCUUCUUCAAUUAACUUUAUUAACACCUAGAAAAGCUUAAAAACAGCAGCCACAAUAUUAUCAAAUUAUUUCUUAUAAUUUUCAGCCACAACAAACCAUCUAUUUAGCCACAAAACAGUCCAACCAAAAAGACAACUACAUCUCAUGUUCUUUCAAGUGCUAUCUUAUGAUUUUUCACUCAACCAACACAACCAACACAAGAUUAACCUUAGGCACAAUCAAGAAGAUAUUAUACAUACCUUGGACAGCAGCUACAACUCGAAACCCUGUCUCAGCUUAGCUCACAAUAGCCCUCAAUCAUACCACAACAAAAAAGCAUUCUCUUGUAGUCUUUAACACCUUUGAUGAUGAUUUGAGUUGAUUUCCCUUGAGUUUGGUUUUUGGGAUCUUGGGAUAUGUUAGGGAGGGUUUUGAAGAGCUGUUAGAAGAAAUUUGGGUGAGAAAUAACCCGAAAUGAGGCUGAAACACCUUUAAAAAAACGUAAGGUCAGAGGUCAUCUCAAGUGGGUCCCAACCGAGCUGCUUGCGCAGUCUUGCAAAAAUGCAGAUAUCUCUCUUCCCCGAUGUCGUAUCAAUGAAUAGUUUAAUGUAUUGAAAACUAGACUGUAGACCUUCAAUUUGGUAUAUAAUGUGUCCCAAAAGACCCCAUAUAGCAGGCGAAAUUCAUUGUUCAAAAGGUUCUAUUACAAGGCAAAUCCUUAGUCGGUUUUUCCGCAACUUUAAUCCGAUUUUUCCCAAACUUGAUAUUUUCUAUCCAAACAUCAUAUAUAGCCAUAUUAUGACUUUAAACUCAUUUAAAUAAUGAUUAGCAAGUCUCAUAUUCAUUACGUCACCUUGGGACGCACAGGGUGUAACAAUCUCCCCCCUUAGAAACAUCCGUCCCCGAAUGUUAAACUCCCAGAAACCUAUAGAAAUUUUAGUAGAGUCUCCUCUAUAAUGGUACUACUACCAACCUGUCACAUAGAAAACCCAACAAUACAAAGCCACACAGGGCCACAAUCAACAAUAACACCAAUGGCCUCAAGUAUCAUAUACGUACCUAAAGGUUGUGAUGUCUCAGUCUGAACCUCCUCCGGAAGCGGAAACAAGUGAGGAUACCUAGUCUUCAUUUCUUCUUCAGCUUCCCAAGUCAUAUCUUCCACAUUAUUGUUUCUCCAAAGUACUUUAACUGAAGCUAUAUCCUUAGUUCUCAAUCUCCGAAUUUGUCUAUCUAGUAUAACAAUGGGAGCUUCCUUAUAUGACAACUGUUCUGUAACCCGAACAUCGUCAACUGGAAUGAAUUUAGAGGGAUCUCCAAUACACUUACGGAGCAUAGACACAUGAAAGAUUUAAUGUAUAGACUCCAAGUUGGAAGGCAAGUCUAACUCAUAUGCUAUUUGGCCUACUCUACGUAUAAUCUUAUAAGGUCCAAUAUACCGAGGGCUAAGCUUUCCUUUCUUACCGAAUAUUAUAACGACUUUCAUCGGUGAUACCUUUAGGAAUACCAGUCGUCUACUUGAAACUCCAAGUCUCGUCGUCGAUUAUCUGCAUAAGACUUCAGACGACUAUGAGAUGCUAAUAGCCUUUCCCUUAUAAGCUUAAUCUUCUCAACUUCCUGUUGUACCAACUCUGGUCCUACUAACUUAGUUUCCCCUAUCUCGAACCAUCCUCUAGGAGACCUACAAUUCCAUCUGUAAAGAGCUUUAUAUGGAGCCAUCUGAAUACUGGAAUGAUAACUAUUAUUAUAUGCGAGCUCAAUAAGUGGAAGAUGAUCAUCCCAGCUAUCCCUGAAGUCCAUCACACAAGCCCAUAUCAUAUCCUCCACUGUCUGAAUAGUACGUUCAGCCUAACCGUCUGUCUGGAUGAAAUGCUUUACUAAGACUUACCUGAGUCCCCAAUCCUUUUUGGAAGGACCUCCAGAAAUUAGCUGUAAAUUGAGCACCUCUAUCUGAGAUAAUAGAUAUAGGGACACAAUGAAGUUGUACUAUCUCCUUAAUGUAAAGCCUUGCAUAAUCCUCUGCUGAACACGUAGUCCUGACAGGUAGAAAUUGGGUUGAUUUUGUAAGUCUAUCAACAAUAACUCAUGUAGAAUCGAACUUACGCUGGGUACGAGGUAAUCCUAUGCUGAAAUCCAUGUUAAUCACUUCCCAUUUCCAAGUCGGAAUCUCUAUAGCCUGCAAUAAUCCACCGAGUUUCUGAUGCUCAAUCUUAACCUGUUGACAAUUAGGUCACUAAGAAACAAACUUUGCUAUAUCCUUCUUCAUUCCGUCCCACCAAUAUAUUCCCCUGAUAUCAUGAUACAUCUUCGUCGCUCCUGGAUGAAUAGAAUAACGAGAAUAGUGAGCUUCUCCCAUAACCUGCUGGCGUAACCCUGCCACUUUAGGAAAACAUAAUCGACCUCGAUAUAUGAGGACUACAUCUCCUGUAAUCUCAAAUGGUGUCUUCUCCUUUUGAGGGGUUGCAUAUCUGUAGUGAGCUACCACAGGAUCUUCAUAUUGACGUUCCUUCACUUCAGUUACUAGAGAGGAUGUUGUCGUGUCCUGAAUAGUAACUCUGGUACCACCUGAAUCUAGUAAUCGAACUCCAAGAUUAGCUAAAUGAUGAAUCUUAUGAGCUAUAUCAUUCUUCUCUGGCUGUAAAUAUGACAGACUACCCAUAAAUCUACGGCUGAGGGUGUCGGCUACUACAUUCGCCUUCCCUGGAUGGUAUAAAUAUCAACAUCAUAGUCUUUCAGUAUCUCCAACCAUCGCCUCUAACGUAUAUUCAAUUCCUUUUACUUGAAUAUAUAUUGAAAGCUCUUAUGGUCCGUAUAGAUAUCAACAUGAAUGCCAUACAAAUAGUGCCUCCACCUCUUUAGUGCAUGAAUCACCGUGGCUAACUCUAAAUCAUGGGUCGGGUAAUUCUUCUCGUGGUUUCUUAGUUGUCUAAAAGAGUAAGCGACAACCUUACCAUGCUGCGUCAAUACACAACCCAAUCUAACGCCCGAAGCAUCACAAUAGAUAACAUAACCAUCGGUCCCUUCUGAAAAUGUCAAAACCGGUGCUGAAGUCAAUCUAUACUUCAGUGCCUGGAAACUCUCUACAAUUCUCCUGUAAUAUCCUGCCAAACCCACCUCCUGUAUAUAGUAGGGAAAGCUGACAAUGCCAUAUACAUGAUGGGGUUGGAGCCACACUUUCAAGCAAAUCCCUCAGUUGUUCUUUCAACUCACUCAGCUCUGCAGGUACCAUUAUAUAUAGAGGAAUAGAUAUUAUAUGGGUAUCUGGUAAUAUGUCAAUAGCAAACUCAAUCUCCUACUAUGGCGGAAGGACUGGAAGCGUAUCGGCAAAAACAUCUAGAAACUCAUUAACCACCGGGAUAGACUGAAGGGUCGGUGACUCUACUUUCACAUCCUGUACCCGAACUAAGUGAUAAAUAUAGCUCUUUUUAUCAUCUUCCUUGCCUUGAGAUCGAAAAUAAACCUACCUCUUGGCGAUGCGGUAUUACUUUCCAUUCCAGAAUUGGUUCCCCUGGAAACUAGAACCGAAUCAUCUUUGAUCUACAAUCAACGUUAGCAUAACAAGAAGCCAACAAUCCAUACCCAUUAUAACAUCAAAUUCCACCAUAUCUAACUUCAUUAGGUCUGCUCUUCUAGAAUGACUAUGAACUACUACUAUACAGUCUUUAUAUACCCGUCUAGCUAUCACUGGAUCCCCAAUAGGUGUAGAUACCUCAAAAGGUUCAAUCAACUCAGGUUCUAUCCCAAACUUACUAGCAACCAACGGAUUGACGUACGAUAAGGUGGAACCUGGAUCAAUCAAUGCAUAUACAUCAUAUGAGGAGACUAAUAAUAUACCUGCAACAACAUCGGGUGAUGACUCCUAAUCAUGUCGACCCGCUAAUGCAUAAAUACGAUUCUGAGGAUCGCUCAAGCUAGAUGCUCCACUUCUACCUCUACCACGACCAGCUGGUGCCUGUGAACCUUGCCCGGGGGGCGUACUGAUGAUGACGAACUGGCUGCAGAUCUCGCUGACUGAACUAUACCUGCACCAUCUCUCAUCGGACAAUCUCUCAUAACGUGGCCUGGAUAACCACAAGUAUAACAAAUACCCAACCCUACAAGGCACUGCCCAGCAUGCUUCUUACCUCACUCAGCACUUCGUGGCAAGGGCGGCCUCAUCUGGCUUGACUCACACCUAUACUGAGAACUAGAGGCCCUAGAACUCUGGUUGGGCUCUAAAUAUAUAGAACGAUCAAAUCUACUACCGGCAAACUGAGGUGGUGCACUAGCCGAUGGCUGGGCUGGAUACCUCGGGUACUGUUAUCGCUGACCACCUCGAAACUCACUAGAAGUACCUUAAGAUCUCGCUCUCUUACUCUGGCCCCUAUCAUGCUCACGACCGGCCCUCUGCUUCUGCUUACGCUCCUCUACGCCCAGAGCGUAUGCCUGAAUACGAGAAAUGUCUAUGCUUGGCUGAAGUGAGACCGACAUACAGUCAUUAAGAAUGUGUGGCUCCAACCCUAUCACGAACCGGUGAACCCGAUCCUCCAUUUUAGCUACAAUAGUGGGAUCAUACCUAGCCAAAGAAUCAAACUGAAGGUUGUACUCCCAAACACUCAUAUUACCCUGCCGAAGGGUCAAGAACCUAUCAACUCUGGCCCGUCUAAGCUCUGGUGGCAAAUAAUGAUGAAGAAAAGCCUCUGUAAAAUCUUUCCAUACUGCUGGAGGGCCAUCCUCACCUCUGGACAACUCCCAAGAUUCGUACCAAUUAAUUGCAACAUCCCGAAGUCUAUAGGAAGCCAACUCAACUGACUUAGUUGCAGUGGCCUUCAUUACCCUCAAAGUUAUCUGCAUCCUAUUAAUAAAUACUUGAGGGUCCUCGUUUGGAUAUACUCCAAUGAAUAUGGGAGGGUCCAAAUUAAUGAAAUCGUGAACCCUUGCAUUGAUGGCCCUAUCUGCAUGACCGAUACCUACCUCCUGGCUUCGAGCCUGUGCGGUCACUAAUCGAGUCAAUAGCUGAAUAACAUCUCUCAUCUCCUGACCCGGUACAUCCGGCUGAGGAACUAGGGGUACUGGGGCUGGCGCUUGAGCUCGUGCCACUCAGAUCUCCUCCGGAGAGGGUAUGGUAUGUGAAGUCUGAGAUGGAGUCUCACUAUAUGACUCUCCCCGAGCCCUGGAAACUCGUGGCGCUCGGCUUGUGGUCUCAUCAUCCACAGGCUUGCCCUUUUGGGCGGCAGUAGCCUUCUUGGGCAUCGCUGAAAACAUAAUGUAUCAUUAGGAAAAUGAAUUCUUACAUCGCACGAUCUAAGAUAAGAAGGGAAGGUAACAUCCUAUAUGUCCUACCGCCUCCUGUUUAUAAGUGUGGUGCACAACACACUCAUAAACAAGACUCUACUAGACACGGUCUGUAGACACCCCCAGGAUGGAACUGCUCUGAUACCACUUUUGUCACGACCCAAACCGAUGGGCUGUGACGAGUGCCCGAGUUCUACCUACCGAACACCCCUAAGCAUACGUCUAAGAUAUAAACAUGAAAUAAGUAUAGGUUAUGCAUAACAUCUGCCCAAAAUUGCUGAAUCAUGUGAAUAACAUACGUGACGAGACAUACUCAAAAGACAUAUAUAUAUACACACACACACACACACACACAUGCGGAAUACAGUAGGGAAAGCUGACAAGGCCACAUACUAUCCAACUAUACAUGACUGUCUAUAGACCUCUAAUAAAGUGUAAAACUGUAUAAAGGAUGGGACUGAGCCCCGUCAUACCCUUAUAUGUAUACAAAACUAUCGUACCAAAACCCAAUAGCAGCUCCGGAUCAAAUGGAGCACCCAACUCUCGCUAAGCUAGGAUCCUAAGGAGGGAGCCGUCAGCCUGUCUACCUGCACCCGCGGGCUUGAAUAGCUGGCCCCCAGGCAAUAGGGGCGUCAGUACGACAAAUGUAUCGAGUAUGUAAGGCAUAAAAAUCAAUAUAUAAAUGACAUGGAAGAAACAUGGAGUAAAGAACUCAACCUGUAAGUCUGAAUAGCUCUGUGAAUCAUGAAAAUAUUUAUAAUGUCAUACGUAUGCGUAUAAAUGUCAUAUAAUGCAUAGGUAUAUGUAUACAUAACAUCAUCAAGCUUCUGAAGGCAUCCCAUCAUAUCAUCUCUGCCUCUGUGGGCGAAAUCAUAAACGUAUAUCAGCUGAUCAGGUGGUGGUACGUAUAUAACACCAUAACCUUUCCACAUAUCUCAUAUACAUAUAAUAUACGCGUAUAUAACGCCAUCUGGUCAUAGGUCAAUGCAUAUGUAUAAAUGAAUACAAUGCAUAAGAAAGUAAUUUUAUAAGAUCUCUCAGAAUAUCAUAAUACCCAUGAACAAACGAUAUGAUAGUAGGACAUAUGGAGAAUCAAGAACAUAGGAAACCCUAGUACUUCUAGGAAUAGAAUUAUUUGUGAAAGUUGCGUGCUUGCUCGUUUCAUUGCAUCAUAUGGAUCGUGCCAAAAGGAAAGAAGGGAUAGCCUUAACAUACUAGUAUGAUCUCUUCCUUAUUACUCAACCAAGCUCAAUAGAAUUUGUUUCAUCUACAACAAGUGAAAUGAUAUUGCCGUUAACAUAUAAUGUCUUACCAUCGUAUUUUGUUAGUCGUAUGGCUUAAGAAAAAUCGGGCAGAAACUCCCCUAUUUUUAAUAUAUCCCAAAGACCACUAAGGGUCAUCAACAACCCAACAACAACAACUAUAACCAAAAAUAGCAAUAAUAACAAUAUAAUUCGAUAUGAGUUUCUCUGAUUAUCUUAACAACCAAAUUGAGCGGCAAGCUUGUUUUUACUCAUAACAAGAUAUAAAUUGAAUCCAAAUCUUAUUCCAUAAAUUAGUUUAUAACCUUCAUAACAUCAUACUUAUAUGUGCUAUAUUAUUUCUAGUUCAAGACAUCCACAAAAUGCCUUCCAAAACAGCCCCAUACGUCUAGCACCUUAAUAUUUAUCGUCAAUCACUUGUUUUUCAUCUUUUCUUCUUCAAUCAACUUAAUUAACACCUAGAAAAGCUUAACAACAGCAGCAACAACAUUAUCAAAUUAUUUCUUACAAUUUCUAGCUACCACAAACCAUCUAUUUAGCCACAAAACAGUCCAACCAAAAAGAUAACUACAUCCCAUGUUCUUUUAAGUGCUAUCUUAUGGUUUCUCACUCAAACAACACAACCAACACAAGAUUAACCUUAGGCACAAUCAAUAAGAUGUAAUACAUACCUUGGACAGUAGCUACCACUCGAAACCCUAUCUCAACUUAGCUCACAAUAGCCCUCAAUCACACCACAACAUCAUAGAAGCAUUCUCUUGUAGUCUUUAAUACCUUUGAUGCUGAUUUGAGUUGAUUUCCCUUGAGUUUGGUUCUUGGGAUAUGUCAGGGAGGGUUUUGGAGAGCUGUUAGAUGAAAUUUGGGUGAUAAAUGACCCGAAAUGAGACUGAAACACCUUUAAAAAAAGUAAGGUCGGAGGUCGUCUCAAGUGGGUCCCAACCGAGCUGCUUGCGCAGUCUUGCAAAAAUGCAGAUAUCUCUCUUCCCCGACGUCGUAUCAAUGAACAGUUUAAUGUAUUGGAAACUAGACUAUAGACCUUCAAUUUGGUAUAUAAUAUGUCCCAAAAAGACCCCAUAUAGCAGGCGAAAUUCAUUGUUCAAAAGGUUCUAUUACAAGGAAAAUCCUUAGUCGGUUUUUCCGCAACUUUAAUCCGAUAUUUCCCAAACUUUAUAUUUUCUAUCCAAACAUCAUAUAUAGCCAUAUUAUGGCUUUAAACUCAUUUAAAUAAUGAUUAACAAGUUUCAUAUUCAUUACGUCACCUUGGGAUGCAUAGGGUGUAACAGGUACACCCAUAUACCUGGUGGACAGAUGUUAUACACUCUUUGAUCUUGUACCUUAUGGACGCUUCAAUGUGUGGAAUCAACACAAGAGAAAUUAAGUCAACAUUCAAGUUAAAAUGAUUCCUAGUGAACGUGUCCAUUUCACAAUUGUGGGUGCCAAUGAAUUUACCCAUAAUCCACAUAUUUGUUUUCAACUUUCACGAACGCAACAUUCAAUUACAACCUUGAAACCAUCAACAACAAAUAACCUUGUAUACAUAUGGAUAUGACUCAUGAACCACAAUAUCACGACACUCGUUUUUGCUGUACAUUCGGGCCGCCCUGCUUAGAUGCACUUUUUCAGCAAAAAGCAUGCCUUUUGAUAGCACCGUUGCUCUAGACUCAUCCCACAUUGCUAUCCGAAUUUCAUCAAGAUCCCUUGUGAGGGUAUCCACAUCCGGCAUACUUGGCAACUGAUCAAGGUUGGGAAUCUCCCUUGAAUGAAACGGCACAUGAGACUAGUACACUCUUGGUCUAACGGAGGGUGGAGCAUGCUCCCUCAUCAAAUCAGGUUCAUCAUUCUCAGCCUCAUAAUCAUCACCCUCAUCAGAGAAGGGUGUGUCAUCUCCAGACUCAUCAACAUUAUUGUCAUAAUAACUAUUAUCUUCCUAACUCUACUCAUCUACCAGAUCCUGAUUAAAUAUGUCGUCUUCGGGCAAUUGAGUAAGGACAGGUCCUUCAAGUUGCUCGUUUUCACUGCACAACCAAUAAUAUAAAAUGAGUUUCUCAAAUUCAUCCAAACUUUACAUAUAAACUUUAUCACUUCACUUACAAAUCAUAAUGUGUUUAUAUCCCAUGAUGCAUCCUAUCUUGUUGGUUGUGACUCCCUGAUGGACCACCAUCAUCCAACACACCAAAACUAGCCAUAUUCUAACUGUCCGUUGGUAUAUAACUUGUAAAAUUCAUAUUUGGCUCGUAUAUGAGUAUUAAUACAAAUACAAUACAUAAAAAUAAAUAUCGUACCACAAAGGAAAAUUGAAGCUUACCACUCGGCUUGUGGAUUAUGUAAACUUGGGGAGAAAUUAUGUCCUCGGUUGUCAUGACCCAAAUCUCCCUCCGUAAGAUGUCGUGAUGGCACCUAGUCUUAGGGACUAGGUAAGCUUAACAAUUACCGAAAUAAUAACAAUAUUAAAUAACGACUGACAAAUGUGAAGUAGAAUUUUUAUACAAUACUUGAAAUCCCAAAACCGGUAGUAUAAGUAAUAAGCUCAAAUGAGUUACUAGAAAGCCUACAAAUACAACUGUUUGAAGUAUAGAUAAAAUAGUGCGAGUACAAUAUUAGAAGGUGACUCUGAAGUCUGCGAACGCAACAACAGGUUUACCUUGAGUCUCCACAGCAAGUUUCGUACUGCUAGCGAGCGGUGAACUAACUCCACCAUACCUAGCUUUGCACAAAAAUGUGCAGAAGUACAGUAUAAGUACACCACAGUCAGUACCCAGUAAGUAUCAAGACUAACCUUCGUGGAGUAGUGAAGAGGUGUGGUCAAGACACUCACUAGUCAAAUAACCUGUGCAAUAUAGCAUACAAAAAUAAUAUAAAACAAAUAGCAGUGGUAGCAACAAUAAUCAACUAGUGAUGUAAACAUCAAGGCAACAAGAACAAUAUAAUUAUUACUCAGACGAAUAAGAAACACAAGUACAACCAAUUAAAUAAGUCCUUCAAAUAUAAAUCUUCAAAUAAGUAUCCUUCGAAUAUAAAACUCUUUCAAAUAAAUAUCUUAUAUCAUAAUCAUAGAAUAUGGUUACAAUUUUAAACCAAGUAAGAAUUCAACAAAGAAAUGAGUUUAUUUUAGAAAUAGUUUGAUGAAUAAAAUGACAUUUCAAUAUAAAUAAACAUCAGAUAAGCUGCUGAUUUGGAUGUAAAACUUAUUAAAUUAAAACAUAAUAGCAAUUUCAUUUAUUUAAAACAACUCAAUCAUCAAGAACAAGUACAAACCAGAAAUACAAAUCCUCAGAGUCUAGUACGAAAAAGCCAAAUCCAACAUAAUACUACAAGAAAUAAAAACACUUAAUAUUGAGUCAAAUAAUACAUCAUGGAGAACACAUGAAUUUACAUAUUAUGAAAAAAUAAAAUAAUCAAAGGCAAGUGCAACCACAGAGAAAUAUCAACAAAAGGACAUUCCCGAGGUACCGCCUCGUAGUCCCAACACAAAUAUCAACAACAACAACAACAACAACAAUGCCCCUAUGCCGUCACAAGUCAUCACAAAUCAAUCCCCUACAUAGCCCACCUUGUCUCACCACCUGCGCAAUAAUAAAGUGAAUGUCCGCCUUGUCUCGCCGCACACGCAUAAUAAUAUUCUCACCUUGUCUUGCCACAUGCGCAAACCCACAUAUAUAGCACGUCUUGUCACGCCGCAUGUGCAUAUAUCAAUAGUAAUAACAGCAUGGAAUAAACCCCGUGCAAAUACCCGAAAUAACCUCUCAACAAUAUCACGUGCCAAUAUCACAACAUAUUAUAAAUUGCACCUCAAGUGCUCAAAUAUUACAACAUAUCACAAAUUACACAUCAAAUACUCAAAUAUUACAACUUGCCAUGAAAAUCAAUAAUACAUUAAUUUCCAAAAUAUGGAGCUCAUGGCUCGACCAUAAUGUGCAUAAAAUCAUAACAAAAAUAUCCGGGAGUGAACAACUCAACAGAAAAAUAUUUCAUAAUUUAACACUGAAUAUGAUCACGACAACACAAUACAAUAAUUCAUAUCACAAUUUGCCCAUAGGCCACAACAAAUCCCAAAGAUAUAAUAAAAUCAAUAAAUUUCUCAUCAAAUAGCCCAAGGCUCCAAACAACGUAUAUAAAACCUCAAAACAACAACAGAGAUGGAAAAGUAACCUAGCAUAGGACAACGCCUUCUUUAAUCCAAAAUAUUAAUAAAUAUAUAUAUAUCAAUGCCUCAUUUUAAACUUAUUAAAUAAUUAUUUGCAGAUAAGCAAUGAGGCAUAACAAUUCAAGGAUUUACUAUGUUCCAACAAUUUUCCAAUUACAUAAUGACGUCUACGAAUUUCAACCGAUAUAAUUUGCACAUAUAAAUCAAGUAUGUACUCGUUACCUCACGUACAUGAUUUUCAAUUACACAAUUUCCACAUAAGACUCAAUGCAUAAGGGGUAUUUCCCUCACUCAAGGUUAGACAAGAUACUUACCUCAAACCGUGAAAUUCUUUACUCCGCUGUGUCUUUCCCUGGCGAAUGGGCCUCCGAAAGCCUUGUAUCUAGACACAAUUAAUUUGAUUCAGUUAAUAUAAAUUAUUGGAAUUAAUUCCAAAUAAAAAUACAAAUUUUCCAAAAAAUUCCGAAAUUUAACUCAAAAAUCUCCCGUGGGACACACGUCUCGGAACCCGACAAAAGUUACAAAUAUGAACGCCCGUUCAACCACGAGUCCAACCAUACAAAAUUACUAAAUUUAGCCAUCAACUCGACCUCCAAAUCUCAAAUUCGUAUUUUGAAAUCCCUAGGCCCAAAUCCUUUAAUUUCACCUCAGAAAAAUGUAAUCUAGUCUAAAUACUCAAUGAUAAUCCAAUAUUAUUAACUAACAAUGAUCACACGUGACUUACCUCAAGUUUCCCCGUGAAGUAUCUCUCACAAAUCUCCCAAAACUGUGUGUUUAAACUCCAAAAUGGCAAAAUUGUCGGUCCCUUCUGUUUUUGUAGCUUGUCUGGUGUUUUCACUUCUACGGAAUAUUUAACCGCAUCUAUGCUUCCUCUUUUGCGGAUUAUCUAUCGAUUCUGCGGUUUUCCAAGGUCCCUCUACCUCCCGCUCUGUGAUUAAACGACCGCUUCUGCAGGCUUUCUUCUGCGAGAAGUAGUCCGCUUCUGCGGUCACGUAGAUAAGGAACUUUCCUCCGCACCUGCGGCCACUGCUCCAGUCUCCCUUUUCCGCUUCUGCGCUCCCAUUCUCGCUUAUGCGAGCCACUUCCGCAGGUACAGUUGCAUCAGAUGACAGAAGGUUUCCAGCUUUGUUAUAAGUCCAAAUUUUGAUCCGUUAACCAUCUGAAACUCACCUAAGGCCCCCGGGACUUCAACCAACUACACCAACAAGUCCUAAAACAUCCUACGAACUUAGUGGAAAUGCCAAACAUUUUCAAAAGGCCUCAUUUUCACAUCAACACAGGGUAUUAGUUUCAACCAGCUAUAGCAACUCGUGCCUACGCACAUGUCAUAUGUAAACCACACCUCUGGUCAUAGUAGUUGUUCAUAAUUAAUUCCAUCAUCCUCAAUUAACCUCAUAUUAAUCAAACCCUCGUUUCAAAAUUUCAUAAUACCGACAGCAAUUUAUCCGAAUUUACGAGUCACAUUUAACGCUACCUGGGUACUCACAUCGUGGGGGCUAAAACUCAAUAAUUACAGCAUAAUUAUGGCUAAAUAUGCACAAAAUAACAUNNNNNNNNNNNNNNNNNNNNNNNNNAUGUUAUUUUGUGCAUAUUAGUCUGAGUCCCUCCCCCGAUCUAUGAAGUAGCUGGUGCAAUCGAAAUCAACCCCGCCUGAGCCAAUGUACCAAACAUGCUCAGGAAUUAUGCUAAGGUCUCAUGAAGUCCAGGGGUAACAGUAUGUGCCUCUGGUACCUGUCCCUCAAUCAGAGCUACUAGUAGCUCCUCAACUACUGCUCUAGUAGGUGCCCUAGCUGCGGCACGUGCUCCCUUUCGGCCUCUGCCUCUGCGUUACCUGCCCCGGGGCGUUACCUGCCCCGGGAACAGCGUCAUCGAUAACUGAAGCUCGUGUCCUCACCAUCUGUGAGAGAAUAGAAUGGUAAAACUCAAACUCCGAGAUCAAUAAACUCACACGAUAGGAAUGAAGAAAGUGAAACUGUCCUAAUAGUUCCGUAGCCUCUCGAAGAUAAGUACAAACGUCUCUGUACCGAUCCCUAAGACUACUAAACUCGCUUAUGACUCGUAGCACCUAUGAACCUAGAGCUCUGAUACCAACUUGUCACGACCCAAAUCUCCCUCUGUAGGAUGUCGUGAUAGCACCUAGUCUUAGAGACUAGGUAAGCCUAAAGAUUACCGAAAUAAUAUGCAGAAGUAUAGUAUGAGUACAUCACAGUCGGUACCCAAUAAGUAUUAAGACUAACCUCCGUGGAGUAGUGACGAGGUACAAUCAAGAUACUCACUAGUCAAAUAACCUGUGCAAUAUAACAUACAAAAAUAAUAUGAAACAAAUAGCAGUGGUAGCAAUAAUAAUCAACUAGUGAUGUAAACAGCAAGGCAACAAGAACAACAUAAUUAUUACUCAGACGAAUAAGAAACACAAGUACAACCAAUUAAACAAGUCCUUCAAAUAUAAAUCUUCAAAUAAGUAUCCUUCGAAUAUAAAAAUCUUUCAAAUAAAUAUCUUAUAUCAUAAUCAUAGAAUAUGGUUCUCAGCCCCCUUUGAUAUUCUCACGGCACCUCGUACCCAUAUCUAUAUCAUAACCGCACGGACAACUCUCGUGCUAAAUAUGUCAAAACAUAAAAUUUGCACGAUUAAUUUAUUUCCAAUAAAGUAAGGUUACAAUUUUAAACCAAGUAAGAAUUCAACAAAGAAAUGAGUUUAUUUUAGAAAUAGUUUGAGUGAAUAAAAUGACAUUUCAAUUUAAAUAAAUAUCAGAUAAGCUGCUGAUUUGGAUGUAAAACUUAUUAUAUUAAGACAUAAUGGCAAUUUCUUUUAUUUAAAACAACUCAAUUAUCGAGAACAAGUACAUACCAGAAAUACAAAUACUCAGAGUCUCAUACGAAAAAGUCAAAGCCAAUACAAUACUACAAGAAAUACAAAAACACUUAAUAUUGAGUCAAAUAAUACAUCACAGAGAACAUAGAAAUUUAUAUAUUAUGGAAAAAUAAAAUAACCAAAGGCAAGUGCAGCCAUAGAGAAAUAUCAAUAAAAGGGCACACACGAGGUACCUCCUCGCAGUCCCAACACAAAUAUAAACAACAACAAUGUCCCCAAGCCGUUACAAGACAUCACAAAUCAAUCCCCGACAUAGUUCACCUUGUCUAGCCAUGUGCGCAAUAAUAAAGUAAAUGCCUGUCUUGUCUCGCCGCACGUGCAUAAAAAUAUUCCCACCUUGUCUCGCCACAUGCGCAAACCCACAUAUAUAGCCCGUCUUGUCACGCCACAUGUGCAUAUAUCAAUAGUAACAAAAGCAGGGCAGAAACCUCGCGCAACCACCCGAACUAACCUCUCAACAAUAUCACGUGCCAAUAUCACAACAUCUCAUAAAUUGCACCUCAAGUGCUCAAAUAUUACAACAUAUCACAAAUUGCACAUCAAGUGCUCAAAUGUUACAACUUGCCACGAAAAUCAACAUUACAUUAUUUUUCAUAAUAAGGAGCCAAUGGCUCGACCAUAAUGGGCACAAAAACCUAACAAAAUAUCCGGGAGUGAACAACUCCACAGAAUAAUAUUUCACAUUUUAACACUGAAUAUGAUCACGACAACACAAUACAAUAAUUCAUAUCACAAUUUUCUCAUUGGCCACAACCAAUCCCAAAGAUAUAACAAAAUCAAUAAAUUUCUCAACAAAUAGCCCAAGACUCCACACAACAUAUUUAAAACCUUAAAACAACAACAGAGAUGGAAAAGUAACCCAGCAUAGGACAAGGCCUUCUUUAUUCCAAAUACUCAAUGAUAAUCUAGUAUUAUUGACUAACAAUGAUCACAAGUGACUUACCUCAAGUUUUUCCGUGAAUUCUCUUUGAAACAUUGCCCAAAAUCAUGUGUUUAAAUACCAAAAUGGCAAAAAUAUCGGACCCUUCUGUUUUUGUAGCAUGUCCAGUGUUUUCGCUUCUGCGGAACAUUUAAUCGCAUCUGCAGUUCCACUUUUGCGGAAUACCUACCGCUCCUGCGGUUUGCCAAGGUCCCUCUACCUCCCACUUCUGCGAUUAAACGACUGCUUCUGCGGACUCGUUUCUGCGAGAAGCAGUUCGCUUCUGCGAUCCCUCGUGAGCAUUUGCGGUCACGCAGAUGCGGAAUUUUCCUCCGUACCCGCGGCUACUGUUCCACUCUCCCUUUUUCGCUUCUGCGCUCCUAUUCUCGCUUUUGCGAGAUCGCACCUACGAGCCAUUUCCGCUGGUGCGGUUGCAUCGGAUGACAGAAGGUUUCCACCUUUGUUCUAAGUCUAAAUUUCUAUCCGUUAACCAUUCGAAACUCAUCCGAGGCCCCCGGGACCUCAACCAACUACACCAACAAGUCCUAAAACAUCAUACGAACUUAGUCGAAACUUCAAAUCAUAUCAAAUAAUGCUAAAACCACGAAUCAUACCCCGAUCCAAGUUUAAUGAAACUAAGAAAUUUCAACUUCUAUAUUCGAUGCCGAAACCUAUUAAAUCAAGUCCGAUUGACCUCAAAUUUUGCACACAAGUCAUAAAUGACAUAACAGACUCCCCGGUAUCAAAAAGUCAACUCCUCGGUCAAACCUUAAGUUUUUAUUUUAGUCAUUUCAAGCCUAAUUGAACUAUGUAGUUUCAAAUAAUUUUUCGGACAUGCUCCUAAGUCCAAAAUCACCAUACGGAGUUAUUGGAAUCAUCGAAACUCUAUUCUGGGGACAUUUACAAAUAAGUCAACUCCGGUUAACUCUUUUUGUUUAACCUUCAAAAAUAAGAAUUGUUCUUUCAAUUAAAUUCUGAAUCUUCCGAAAACCAAACUCGACCAUACCCGCAAGUCAUAAUACACAUCACAAAGCUGCUUGUGACUUUAAGUCGUUAAACGAGACGUUAAUUCUUAAAAUGACAAGUCGGGUUAUUACAUCGGUCCUUAUUCACCCGUGGAGAUAAGUUUAGAUCAGGCCAAACUCUUUCACCAGAAACCUGUUCAGCUAAAACUACUCCAAAAUAACCACCCGAUGAUUGAGGGAUAUUUCUACUUUGCAAAACCUCAUUAUUGUGAACGUCUUCCGCCUUGACAUACAUUUCCAAGUCGCACCCUCCUUAAAAGGAGGAAAAAGACGAGAAAAUUUAGGGUGGUUUUUGAAAAGCUAAUUAUUAAAGAAGUCGUCGGAAAAAAAAUUGAGAAAAGUUGUAUGUGUGGAUUAAUUCAGAUUUUUUGUUUCAAAAGCACUGCUUGUUUUUGGAUAGAGAUAUAAUUUCGGGAAAUCAAAAUUUGCUUUUUCCAACUAAACAAAAUUGAUUUUUAGUUUCAAAAAUAUGUUUUUGAAUCUUUUUCCUAAAAUAAAUAGUUAAUUCGUGUAACUCACAAAUUGAGAAAUACAAAUCUACCAUGCUCCUAGUUAACGGAUGUAAAAUAUCUUUAAAAAAUUAACUUCCUAUAAAAAAAUUAUAUUUAGCCUUUGAUUAACACUGGAAUUUUAUUAAAACAUCAAAUUGCUGAAACGGAAGAUCUAAUAUAAACAAAGUAAUUAAAUUUGGAUGUCAUUUAAUCUUUUGUCUAAAUUAAGCAUAAUUAAUUAGUCACGGCGUUUAGUGUUUGUUGAUCAUGAAAUUCUUGCCAAAUAUUUAUUUAUUUUUUACUGAUAAAAUCAGAAAUUAAUUUUUUAAAUUAUUUAAUUUUGACUCAUAAAACUAAUUUGAGCUACAUACAACAAUAACAACAACGUACUCAGUCUAGAGAUGAUAGUAUAUUCACCGUCUUUAUACCUACUUUGUGAAAGUAAGAAAUGUUUCCAGAUUUGAGCUUACAACUUACAUAGUGUAUUGAUAUUUGCUGUAACUCUAUCUGAUAUUCAAUAAAAGGAAACAAAAAUGUUUGGCUUCGUCAUUUUAAGCCUGAUCCAGGCCCACAUAUUUCUCCUAGAAUGGGGGUGAUAGAAGAAAAUUUUAUGUAAAAAUAUACGUCAUAUUGGUUAAGGAGACAAAAUGAAGGUGGAACAAGAAAUUUAUAUUGCAAUAUGAAAAAGAUGGACAAUAAGAAAGGGAUGGGGAAACUUAUAUUGUAAUUGUUACGAUAACUUCUAUUAUGUUGGAUAUGAUUUAUGUCUUCAAUUUUUUCGACUUCAGAAAACUAUUGUAGUUCUUAAUUACUCUGUCUAAACAUGCAGGCCAAUCGUGUAUGACAGUGUCAUGAGCUGUAAGCCAGAGCAGCAUAAUUAUACUGCAUAUGUAAGUUAAAAUGAUAAGUUAUUUACGGGGUAAAGUUCUGCCUAUUUUAUUUAUCAAAAUUAAAUAAAGACUACCAUGUGUGGUUUAUUUAAUUCUUUUUCAUUCUAAAGAAUUUUCUAAUAAAAUAAAUCUUAAAACUUAAAUUUUGUGUAGAAAAAAACAACUAACCUUAAAAGCAAUAUUUUAAUUAAAUGUUAUUUCUUAAAUAAAUUUUAUAAUUUAAAAAUCAAGCCCUACAAAAAUUUAUUCAACAAAAGCGCUCUACAAACUACAAACUUUCUCGACUCUCUCAUACUUUUGGUUUUAUGUUUACUUUUAUCAGUAAAUUUUCUAACAUUGUCUUUUUGUUAUUUUAAUUUUAAUUUAUAAAAUUAUAGUUCUAUUAAAAGUUUUUUUUAUGGUUUAGCUAAAUAUUGCGUAGUUUGAUUUAAAAAAUUGAUACAUUAUUCAUGGACAAAAAAAAUAUUGAGUUGUUUAAAAUUUGAACACCCUUGACGGUAUUCCUAGUUAUGUCACUGAGCAUAUGCGUACUAGAUGUAUAACCUCGACAGUGUAUUAUAUCCAGGAGCGAAGCCACCUUUUGCUAAGGGUGGUAAAUUCGUCAGAAAUAUUACGAAAAAUUACAUUGUAUAUAUAAGUAAAUUAUUAGAUUUUAGAUGUAUAUAACAUAUAUUGAACACCUUUUAUUAGAAUAUUUUUUUACUUUUUUCAAGGCUGAACACCCUUAGGAAAUAUUCUGGCUUUGCUACUGAUUACAUCAUAACGUUAGGGGAGAAUAAUUCAAUUCUCUUUUAUGUAAAAGCUAAGUAUUUAUGAAUGCAUAAUGUAUACAAAUGUUUAAUCGCAGUUACAAACUUUGUCUUAUUUUCGAGAGUAAUUACCAUAUCGAUUAGGUUGAAACUCCUCGAAAAGGAGCUCUAAAUAAUUACUUGCUUAGGCUUCAUGGAUAGGAACUAAUGGCAUUUUUCCUCCAUAAAUCUCUGGCAGCUGACUUUCAUCAAUGUCUUGAAGUAGAGUUGUCAUUAGUCGUUUGUUUUCCACAAACAUGAUCUGAUGAGAGGAAGGAUAAAAAUUAAUUUUGUAAAGAUAAUUAAUCUAAUACAAGGUUUAACCAGGGGCGGCUCAACGGUAUCCGGGGCCUAAAGCUAAACUUCAACGAGGGGGACUAAGUUUUUUCAUAUUUAAAAACUCAUUUAAUAAAUUUUUAUUUUAAAGUUAAUUUUUCUAGCUUUUUGAGAUGUAAUUUUUAAUAAUUUAUUUAUAAUCGAUUUCUUAAUUUUAUUUAUAAUCGAUUUUUUAACUAGGAUUAUAUAUAUUUCUACUUUCUAGGAUUAUUAUUCAAUUCUUUUAGGAUUUCCUAAUUUUCUAAAAGAUCUUUGUUAAACUCUUACCAACUUCUUCUUCUUCUUGGAUUUCAUUCUCUUCUACCUCAAUUAUAUUAGUGAUUUGUUUAUCUACCAUAAAUUCUUCCUAUUUUUGGGGACUGUAUUAAAGUUUCAAUUCUUCUCUCCUUUUUUGGUAUUUUUAAUAUGGGGAUUCAUAUUUUCUUGUUGACAUAUUAAAAUUUUAAUAAAUUUAAAAAGGUAAUGCAUAUACUUACAAACAAAAGAUAUAUAUAAAAAAAAUUAGAUGCAAAGUAAUAAGAAAAGUAUAGAACAAUUGAACCUGGUUUAACAAAUAGUCAUGGAUAACUUGAUAUAUUACUUUUGCUGUUUCAAUAUUUUUGGUGCAAUUCCGAGAAAGCUUGACAAAAAAAAAGUUCGCAAUUGCUUUCUACUAUCAUAUUUGACAGAAUAUUUUAUGAGACUGUGGACUUAUAAGUUUGAAAAGGAAUAUAAAAGAUUAAGUAAAAACCAGUUUAAAGAGAAAGUAAUAAAAUUAACGUGGGUCAUGCGAUAAUAAUGAUAAUAUAUAAAGGAUGCAAAAUAAAUAUUCACACGUAAGUAACUAUUGUUAUUCCCAAAUUAUCUCUAUUGGUCUCAUAGUUCCCUUAUUUAUGAAAAAUAUACUUUUUUUAUAUACUAAAUAUUUUUUUAAAAAUUUAUCAAAUACAAAUACAACUAUUUAAUACAGUAUCAGAAAAUUUUGGGCCCCUAGAUGUGGGGGUGCUUUACCAUUGAGCCGCCCCUGGGUUUAACCAAUAGCUUAACUGCAGCUUGACUAAAUUCUAGCAUUGUUUCAUCAAACCUUAGUAGAGUCUCACCUUCUUUUUGGUCUUGUUAUCAAUAAAAGGAGACACAAUUUUCCACAAUGUCCAGAAUAGGUAAGGAAUUUUAACUCCAAGUAUCUUUUCAAGUCUUUCAGGGUAGCAGUCCUGCAAUUAAUAGUAUAGUAAACUUCAAGAUUAUGGACUAGAAUACGGUGAGCCGUUUUCCCAUGACAAUUACAGAGGAAAAAAAUUAUAAGGAUUUCAUAUAUAUAUAUAUAUAUUUGCAGUGUCAAGUACUUUUACGCUAUAAAUGUUUUGAUUUUUAUUAGAUAAGCUACCUUGUUUUUCAGGUUACUAAUUCAUAUGAGCUUACAAUUGUCCGUAUAUAGAAGUUAAACUCAACGAAAAUAGAUAAUUAAACCUGUAAAAUGGAUAGAGCCCAAAUGUAUGCACGAGCAUCGCUGUUGGCAUAGCCAAAACCUUGGAGAUCCACAAUUACCACAAACUUUUCCCUACCUGGUGAGGUCCUGAUUAAUCAAGAAAAUCCCAAAAUAAAAAUAAUUACUGUAUUAAGGCUGCAUGAUCUCGACUGCUUCUUUGAAAAGGCAAAUUUGCCAAGUGAGAAUAUUAUAUUAAUUAAUUAGAUAGUGUACCUUGAACACAGUUUGUCUAAAGCCAAGACCACAAAUCCUGUAAAUGAAAACAAAGUCUUGACUAUAAAUUAAGUAGCAGGCCAAGUACGUAGAACGGAAUAAAGAGAAAGAAAACAAAAAU
This 61655-nucleotide long non-coding RNA is filed under the name Nicotiana tabacum (common tobacco). RNAcentral describes it as "long non-coding RNA (NTAB_LNC004095)". The record is from RNAcentral. Lineage: Eukaryota; Viridiplantae; Streptophyta; Magnoliopsida; Solanales; Solanaceae.